GAUAAGGUUCACUCUCCACCACUGUGCUGCCCAGAGGAGGAUUUGGAGAGGGGGUGUGAACUGGCAGAGGUGGCUGCUUACAUUUUCUCUCUAGGCAGCACCAUGGGCCAAGUUUGUGCUGACAGGUUCUCCAAAGAGAGCAGAGGUAAGAGCAGCCUCCAGUUUCUCUACCUUGAAUGCUUCCCCAGCAGACUUCAGAGGAGGAGAUGCCUUGUCGGUAGGAGUGGGUGUUCCUGACAGCAGGGAAUCUCUCUUCCUCCUUUCCAGCUUCUGUUGCAGGGCAGGAGGAGGGAGGCCAGGUUGCUGUUGCUGCUUAAUCUUCACUCCUUGCCAGCAACACCUGCUGAUGGGCUGCUUUUCCUUCAAAGUAAAAGUGGCAAUGUUAAGCAUGCUUUCUAAAAAGCAUGCACACGAUAGUGCAAUGUGUGUUGUUUGCUGCUGCAGCAGCAAACAUGGAAGGACUUUUCCCAGCAAAUAAUAGACACAAUCUCGUGUUCAGUUUUUUUAAGCUGAUAGAGUGAGAUUUGAGCGGAUUUUGUUCUCAAGUUAAAGCAACUGAAACGGCUUUAAAUAAAGUUCUUUGAAUUAUCUAGAAAACAAAUUACAUAAGCAAACUCUUGUAGCAUACCCUAACUCUCCCUAUCUCCCCACUUCCCUGAACUUUCCCAAGAAGAACUCUCCACUCCCUUCAAUUUCAGCUUCUCAAAAAAAGAAAAGGGGAAAAAAGAUUAUUUAUAUUGUUUGAUAUGUGGAUUUGGCUCAAUUUAAGACUUUUAUGUGGAUCUGGGUCAAACUCACAGCUUUGAAACUAGUGGAAGUAUAUGUGUACAGUACUAUGUGCAUAUAGCUUAAAAAAAGAAUCACCAGUUUUUCUAAUUUUAGCCUUUGCAGAUUGCAGUGUCCUUUUUGGCAUACAGAAUAAAAGAACAAGAACAUACAAAUGAAAUAUUCUGGUGUGUUUGUUUUUUCUUUUUUAAAAAAGUGAUAAGAAAAAACUAUGUAACAUGAUACCACAUCCGUUUGAUCUGCUGGCUAAAAACAUCUGCAAUAAAACAUUUGGUUUUGUUUCUGAAGCAGCCAUUGCAAAUAUAAAACAACCUCUUUUGAUUGUAUGUAAUUCAAAACCUUUGUAUACUUUGCAAUUCUUUAAAAAGUAAAAUUAUUAACAUUGGCAACCUUUUCAGUUUUACUACGUUGCCCCUUUUACUACGCCUUUCCACAGCAGUUAUGAAGAAACCAGUCAGACAACAUAAAUCUACUUACUCUUUGGCUCCCCACCCCCUAACACACAACCAGAAACAAGAACUAAUCGGAUAAAAGUAAUUUUGUUGUUUACAAAGGAAAAUAAAGUUGUCAGUUUUUAAAAGUUCACCCCAGUGAUGAAAAGCAUGCUUACUCUGCAAAAUCUGAUUGUAUUGGGGAUCUUAGCAGUGCCCUUUGUAGGAAUGGAAUACAUAACAAAAUUAAUUAUUAUUUUUGUCAAGAAUUGCAAAAAGUUAAAGAAUAGUUGUUUUCUACUUUGGAAAAAAGUUUGAAACCAGAGACGAUUAUAUGUAACUGAAAUGUGAAACUUAGUAAUGAAUUACUAGUAAUGAUUUUUAGAAGAAAUAUGUUUCUACAUUUAAAAGGAUUUAUUGUUGCAUUUUGCUAUGAAACCCAACCUUCAGUCUGUGCCCUUUUAAAAGAUACUAAAUGGCAUACAUGUUUAUAUCUUUGAAACAAAUGUAGUCAACUUGUGUAAACUAGUUUUCUCUAACUGUAAUAUACCUUCACAUUGAGGCUGGAGAAGUAAACAAUUAUUGGUAUAUAGACAAUGUUAGCCAUACUCAGAGUAGACCCAUUGAAAUUAAUGGGCAUCAGUAAUAGUCUAAUUUAGUGGGAUACAACCAUAGGCUGCAUUUUUACUAUUAUACAUAGGCAUACUAGAAAUAAGCCUUUUAGUGUGUGUAGGGUAUAACAAUAUAAAAUACAAUCCGGUCACUUUUAAGUCCACAUGCUUAACUCUCCCACUGAAUUCAAUGGGACUUAAAUGUGCUUACUUAUAUAACUGUUUACAGAUUUGAAACAAAAUCUCCAUUUACAAACUUUUCAAUUACUGCAGUUACGUUUAAAUUAAUACAAAUAGAAAGUUCAAAGUGUUGUACCUGCCUUAUAGCUGCUGGAUAACUUAAGACACAUUAAGAAUACUAUAAAUACUUUCUCCCAUUAAACUGGAGACUACAUAUGUUGAAAUAGGAUAGCACAAGCAGAAUCACAGGCACAAGUAGAAUUACUGCUUUAUAUUGCUCUUUAUCUCCUGUGUGUGUGCAUAUGUAUUUGUGGAGGAGAAAAAACAACACUGAACUGUCCUAAUCCCUGCCCUAACUAAGCAUUCUUAUCAGGAAGUAAUUCCCAUUGUAAUCAGUAAUUCUUACUUCUGAGUGAGCAUGAUUAGGAUUUGGGUUUAAGUGUAAAUUGGGUGGGGAACCUCAGGUUCAAUACAACUCUCCAGACUUCUCUGUCUGGCCUUUGUGCCUCUUCCUAGGCAAUGGCCCCUUCCUCCAGGCCACAUCACUUACUGGCCUGCUCUAUGCCUUCCUUGAGUGGUUUUGACUGGAUAAAGUUGUGUUCUUGAACUGUGACAAUGCAUUUGGCUUGCCCAGGUACCGAGGGCUUAUGUGUUUAGAAUCAUCUGACUUUUGCAUGAUUGGAAUGUAGCCUAUGGUACAAAGGUAAAGAGCCACCCACUUUACCUCUGGCCCCACCCACCACCAGCAUGUGGCCCCAGAUGUAUUAUCAAAAGACAAUGGGGCCCUUGGAUUGAAAGGAGUCCUGGGGCAAGUAAUUUUGCACAAUUUAAGGCACCAUUUUGUUAUUCUACAUCCUUUUCAUAGUAUAUUUGGUAUUAUUGUAGCAGUGACUCUAACAUUGGCAGGAGAAGCACCUUGUCCUAAAGAGGGGAAGGAAUCGUAGGGCUGGGCAAUAUGUGGUUUUCAACAUCGUGAUGUAUUGCCAGCUAAACAUCGUGAUAUAUCGAUACACUAUAUAAAGAUGUCUGCAAUAAGAAUUGAACAAUGUAGAGGCGAACAGUAGGACUGGGCAAUAUCUGGUUUUCAACAUUGUGAUGUAUCGCCAGCUAAACAUCAUGAUAUACCAAUAUAUCACAGUGUCUGAAAUAAGGAUGAAGUUAUGUAGAGGCCUUGGCUGGCUUCACAGUUUUCCUCAUGUUGUCAUUGUUGCAUAGCAUACACACACAUCAUGAUUCACGAUAUAUUGCCAGGUCAAAAAUUAUUAAACCGAUAUCACGAUAUGAACUUCAAACUGGUUCUGGACAAUAUAUCAAUAUAUCCCCUAGAAAGGAUCUUACAGCAGGUAGAGCUAGAUACACUUUCUACUAAGCAGCAGAGACUGGUGCUGCUUGGCGCAUCAGAUAAACUUAGAAGGACCCUGAGUUCAGGACAGUUUGAGAAACACUGUUUGAUCAAGUAUAACUUCCUAUAACAGCAAUGAAACUUCACUAGAUUCAUUCCCUAUGGUGCUAUGCAUUGUUUUAAUAAAGUUCCAUUCCAAAUCGUCAAUUUGCCGACCAUACAGCAAGCCACAGCCCCAUUGAUUUUAAUUAGCUGUGCACUUCACUCAUGAUUAGUAGUGGGUUGAUGUCCUUAGCAAUGUCACUCACCCAAAAUAUAUAAAAUGAAAGAAGGGGACAGAAUAAAAACUUGCUGUUACUGCAGCUGCAUCAAUGAUGUACCACAGUGAUCCCAGUGCUGUAUAGAAUUUCUGUACAUAUCAUGGAAAUUGCUUUAAUUUUAAGAGCCUGACAGAGGUAAGCACUUUUCCCAAAGAUUUAUUUAAUACGUAUACCUUGCUCCUAGUUAUCUGCUACUUAGGUUACUGACCAAGUCUGCAUUGGCUUCAGUUCAGCAGCUCUUCAGCAUUAAAGACUUCCACUAUGUUCACUGCUCCUCUGGUAGGGAUAAGCGUUUUAGGUGUUGUUAUAGAUACAACAAAAUGUUGCACAAGUAACAUUAACGUACCUGAGGCUGUAACACCCUGUAUAUUUUAUAUUAUGUUGGAGUUAAUUACGCUAAAGAUAGUCGGGCCUACUUCACAGUAAACAUGCAAAGGAUUAGGUAAAGGUAAAGGUACCCCUGCCCGUACGGGCCAGUCUUGACAGACUCUGGGGUUGUGCGCUCAUUUCACUCUAGAGGCCGGGAGCCAGUGCUGUCCACAGACACUUCCGGGUCACGUGGCCAGCGUGACGAAGCUGCUCUGGCGAACCGGCACCAGAGCAGCACACGGAACGCCGUUUACCUUCCCGCUAUAAAGCGGUCCCUAUUUAUCUACUUGCACUUAAGGGUGCUUUCGAACUGCUAGGUGGGCAGGAGCUGGGACCGAACUACGGGAGCUCACCCAACUGCAGGGAUUUGAACCGCCGACCAUGCGAUCGGCAAGUCCUAGGCGCUGAGGUUUCACCCACAGCGCCACCCGCGUCGCUAUGCAAAGGAUUGGUGUGCACCCUUUUCUGAGCAGCAUCAUAUAAAAUAUGUUUUGAUAUGAAGGUAAACACCAGUGAAAAUCGGUAAUACUGGGGUGAUGAUCCAGACAAUGUGUAGCCAAAAGAUCAAUGUGUUUUGUCAUUAUUUUUAGAUGCAUUGUGAUUUUUCAUUGCGUUGCUUUAAGACUGAUGUGGUUGCUACCCUGGGAUUUUUUGGUGGAAAGAAUGAGGUACAUUUAAUAAACAAUUUACAUUCAGCUUCUAUAAAACCGAAGAGCCCUGAAAUCUUAAAGAUAUUUUUUCCUAUUUCUCUUUUUGUUUUCAAACUUAUAAAAUGAAUCAAACGUAUAAAAUAGCAUCUAAUUAAUUCUGGUUUUGGUAUAUCUACAUUCCCUACUGGGAUACACACCUAAGUUGAAAUCUUCUUUGAUUUUGACUGACCGUGCUGUUUUCUUUUCCAGUACCUUGUGGUAAUAUUUCUUAACACUUUUUGUUUGUUCUGCAGUGGUACAUUAUAGAAUCUACCCUGACUCAUCCUGCUGGGUAGGUGCUAUUUACCUUCUGUGAAGAAGAACAGAUAGAAAAAAAGAAAGAAAAUGUUACUUACAAGUAAACUCAAACACCUAUGGGGAAUAAACUAUAACCAUCAAUUUCCCCAUAAAAUUCCACGCCAAAAAGCCACUGGAGGCUCCAUACAACUCAGUAGGUUACAGCUCAAAAACCAUCAAAUUAAAAGUUUAACCGCAACAAUAAAAUCAGGCUGCUUUCUGAAACUGGUAUUUUUAGUAAGUGAACAUUUGCACUCCCUAGGCAAGUUUCUGCACAGUUCAAAAUGGCCUGAAUCCAGGUCCACCUUGUUAACAGUGACUGAUUCAUGUGUUACAUUUUCCACUCAUGGAAUCUUUCCUGAUUCUCAUGCUUGAAUUCCUAUGGGGAAAUUCAUGAAACAUUGUGUUUGAGCAUGCAAAUUGCUUGUUUAUCUAUCUGUUUGCUUCAGAACUGAACUCCGAAUCUAGAAAGGCUUAUGCUAGUGUGGAAGCAAGUCACAUGUAGAAUCUGGCAGUGGCAUCAUUUACAGAAGCUAGAUUCACAACUACUGAACAAGAGCACUCUCGCUGAUGGCACCUUCCCUGAUAGAAUCCUUUCCAAGAGAGCCUGCCAAAUACAAUCCCUCCAGACUGCGGCCCAUUUCAUGUUUUAAUAGAACAGCAUGGCUGCCACUUCCCUGUGGCUGUCUGGACAUUUGAAAGACAGAAUUGUGUGGGGUCACAAGGAUCACACAUAAUGAUGGAUGAAUUGGGUCUUACUUAGAUCAGGACGGUUUCUCAAAGUGUGCUGAAGAAUAAGAUUUGACCAUGGAUUGGGAAGAAUAUCUUGAAUACCAGGCAUUUCCACCUACACAAAUAAGGCUUAGACUGAGCCUUGAGUGCUAACGUAUUUCAUUGCUGUAUUUUGAAAUCCCAAAACGUACAUGGGAUAAGCUUUCUAAUGAACACAAAGGGGCUAACUUCUGAGUAAAUACACACACAUAGACAUGAAGUUCAGGUCCGCUCUUCUGACUGAGCAAGUCUCAGAAAAUCUGGCUUUCAGGAGAUUGAUUGCUUCCUAAAUUACUCUAGUGAGUAUUUGGAUAUUUAUCCUAACCUGUUAGUCGAACAUGCUUGUCACAGAUGAGUGAAUCAAUGCCAUUGACUGCUAUCAUUUGUGACUAGCAAAAAUGGUUCCCUGAAGUCUCCCAGAAGCGAUUAUAAUUCCUCAUCUUUAUGGUUCCAGUUCCAAAGUACAUGGAAUUUACAAGAAUUACCAUCCUGGUUAUAUUGUUUGAAUGUCUUAAACCACCAAAGGAAAGUCUCUAGACAUAUCAAACUACUAAUAGUGGUUUGACACACACUGAUCACAGUAUUGUCAUAUGUACAUUUAUUUCAACCAAGGGCUGAGUUGUGGGGAAACAAAUUCUACCAGUCUUAUGCAUAUUAUGGACAAAAUGGGAACUCUGACAUCACUCUGAGAUUUUCAGCCAAAUGUUUGGAAUAAAAAAAGAAAAUCUAAACAAAUGGAUGCCAUAAUAUUGAUUAAAUGUGUAAUUGAAGAAACAAUACUUAAAGACAGAAAAAUAGAGGAGUCCAAACUGGCAAGAAUCUUGUCUGUUGUGUCAUUGGAAUAGCAAAUUUGGUGAGAGGUCAGACUUACACAAUAGGAAGAGAGCUCCAUGCUUGCUUCUGGUUUUAUGUAUAUUUAUAUGCGUACGCACUAAUAAAACGAAAUAUUGCUUUAUGUACUCCUGUCCCCUGAGCACGGACAGCAAUUUGGUUUCCUUUACAGUGAGGUCAUUGGAGGCGUACUUGAGUUUAUUUACAAAUACACAAGUUUAGCCUAGGGGGAGGACCAGCUGAAACACACUGACAGACAGGAACAGUCCACUGCUCCCACAUCAGGUCUUCAGGAAGACAGACAUUGCCUUAAAGAUUCUUAUACAGUCCAAACUUCACUCUCUGUAUAGUUUUUUCUUAGCAUCAAAACUGUCCAUCUGCUUUCCACAAAUGUCUUCUUGUUUACAUUAACACCAACUUGGGGCGGCAGAGAGAGCGAGAGUCAUCACCCUUCCAGAUAUUUCAUGGACUAUCCCUAAGGCUAUUGAGAGCUUUCAACCUUUAAAUUCCAUAACAAAAUAGACAGUUGCAAAGACCAUUAAGGUAAUUCCCAGCAGCCUUGUUGGUCCAGUCACUUUAGCAGACUCCAGUGUAACAGUCAUAGAAUCACCAUGUUGGAAGAAACCCCUAAGUCACCCAGCUCUCAAUUACAUGGCAAUAUGUAAAAAUCAAACAAAUGUUACUGACGGAAGGAGCAGCAAAAGCAGGUCUGAAAACUUCCACCUCAGAAUGCAGAUGUAGGCAAACAGGCUAGAAAUUCUUUUGUCAAAAAAAGGUUGCUUGUUUUAACAACAGAAAGUCAAAAUUCCUCAUACACUGUGGUAUAUUGCCUUAUUCUAUUUAAUUCAAAUGUAUGUGUACGUUUAUAAAAUCUCUAUAUUCCUUUGGGGUGAUUAUUUCACCUUUUGCUUUUUGCACCAACGUAGUCAACUAAAAUGUAUGGACCAAAUGACAAAAGGUGUGCAUAAUAUUUUCAUAUGCUGGGUACUUUUGUUUCCUUAUAGAUGACUCAUUCCCCUCCAUUUGCUUCUCAUCAUUUACAUUGUACAAUCCCUGCUCAUGUAAUUCCUUUCCUGCUACAUGCUAAAGCAAAUCCUUUUUCACUUCUUCUUUUCUUAGCAAUGAUUUGUGAAUGAGCUCCCCCAAGCAAAUCAUCCCAUUACACAACUCCUUCACUCCCUUUCUUCAAAUCACUCCCACAGAAGCCACACACAGUGAGCUCUGUCCUCCUCCACAAAACCAAUUCAUGUUCCUUCCUCUAAAUAUGUGUAAUCACUUUUGCUUAGAUACAUAGAUUACAAUUACACGUAUAAGAUUACCUCCAUAUAUCCUCAAGCAGUUAAUUGUGUGUGUGUGUGCAUAUACAUUUGAAUUAUGAUAUCCCUUUCACACUUCCACCUACAUACCAUCCAACAUUUGUCAGAGAAAAACAUAAACUUGUCAUAUAUUAAGCAAACAAGGUGGUCAUUGUAGAGCAUUUAGCAAGCCUAAUGAAAGAUAGCAAGCUUCCUUUGGGGACUGGCAAUUUUCUCCCUAUUUUAUUUUAUUUUAUUUGUAGAAACAAUCAGAUAUAGUUCCUUUUCAUAACCAGAUGCAGCAUUUUUAAUUUUUUUUUGGUAGCAAUUCAGAAUCAGAUAUAAGCACAUUUUUGUCUCUCGGAUCCUAACUUUUCUUAGGUUUUAAGCAUUCAGUACACCUUUACAAAGUUGUCAGAUUCGCUUCCCAAGCAAGCCCAGUAUGGCUACAGUUUACAAAUUGUGAAUAUAUAAGCAAGCUACACAGGGGUGGGGGGGGCAGGGGGGGUCGUUCCUAAAGCAAGUCAUGCAUCAAGGUGAAGGGAAGUGGUAGCAACAUUGUGGCAAUUUGUUGUGAUCAUGAUGGGAGGGGACAGUAACAGAAAUGCGAUGUCACACUCAUGUGUUUGCUUCUCCAGCUUAGUAGUAUUUUUGUGCAUUGUCUGUUACUUUGAAAUGCUGCCUUCCCUUGCUUUCCAAUAUCUCCCACCCUUUUCACGUGAUAUUUCACAUUUGUACAGGUAUUCCAAUAUGUCCUAAAGAUGCCAUGAUUGUGCGACACAUACAGACUACAGUGGUACCUCGGGUUACAGACGCUUUAGGUUAUAGACUUCACUAACCCAGAAAUAGUACCUCAGGUUAAGAACUUUGCUUCAGGAUGAGAACAGAAAUCGCACGGCAGCGGCAUGGCAGCAGCAGGAGGCCCCAUUAGCUAAAGUGGUACCUCAGGUUAAGAACAGUUUCUGGUUAAGAAUGGACCUCCAGAACGAAUUAAGUUCUUAACCCGAGGUACCACUGUGGUACUUUGUAUUGGAAUGAUAAUGUGUGACAACCGGCAGACAGAUGUAUGUGAAAGGUAUUUGACAAUAUUUUACGGUGUUUAUGACUACCCACACAUAGUGAGUGGGAAGCAGGAUGUAGCCCAGCAGUGACCACCUCAUAAGGCCUGGAGAAGGGAAAGGCGGGCAAAUUCUGCACAGGUAGGGUGGGCAGGAGCCAUUUUGGGCAAGAGCUUAUGUUAGGAACAUAGGAAGCUGUCUUGGUCUGUCCAUCUAGCUCAAUAUUGUCUACACUGACUGGCAGUUGUUUUCCAGGGUUUCAGGCAGGGAAUAUCUCCAGCCCUACCUGGAGAUAUGAGGGAUUGAACAUGGGACCUUAUGCUUUGAUGGCAAGUGCUCUACGACUGAGCUACUUCCCUUUACCACUAUCUCGUUGGCACCUAAUCAAACUUUGGGAGUAGUUCUGGCACUUUCAUUUAGGAAAUGAUCUUUCUGGAUAUCUUUGUAUGUUUGUAAAAUAGUGCUUAAGAACUGUUUUUCUAUAGAAUUCAAUUCUGUGUAAAGUUAUACAGUCACUGUCCCUUUAAAUGAGUCUUAAAGACUUUCAGCAGCUAUUCUUACAUACAAUUUGUGCUGUGUGGUUUCAUUGUGGUCAAGAUAUGCCAGUUUAUUGUAGGUUUUGUGCUCUUUUGAAAUGGGGUUUUAAAAAUGAUUUUAGUUUGUGUAUUGUGCAAAUUGCUCUGAGGAUUUCCCCCCCCAGCAAAAGCAAUCUAUAGAUCUGUUUUUAUAAAUAGAUUGAUACAUAGUCACAAGUGGAAAGGAAGUUUGAUCUAUGAUUGAAGAUGAUGCAGCAAUAAAGCAGCUAGCACAUUUACAAAGCUAAGCAGGGUCCAGUAUGGUUUCAAAUUGGGUGGGGGACCACAUAUUAAGAUUCCUGCAUUGCAAUGGGUUGGACUAGAUGGUCCUUAGGCUCCCUUCCUAAUUCUAUGUAUACAAAUUAUCUUUGUGAGAGGCUUAAAAAAAAGAAAAAGAGCCAACACCUGUCGUCUACCCAUACAAGUAUGGUCUCAUUCACAACAUGGAACUACCUUUAAAAUCCCAUUUGAGUAACAGUUCCAGGAAACUUGCCACAGUUCCCCUACCUACCAUUUAUUUGGAACCAUUUGCUCUGCUACCGACACAAGAUUCUGGAGUCAAAGAUCAGGGCUUUUGGUCUUCACUUCAUGAACAGACCAGCCUUGUGAGAUAUUCCCUUUGCAUUUGUAUGAAUAAGCUAAAGUUUUCAACCGCCCAAGAUGGCUGCCUGUUGUUUGAAACAGCAACAGCACUCCAGAUUGUUUAAGACAGUAUAAGCAAGCACUGUAGGGAAAUGCCAAACCCCAAAGUGAUGUACUUUAGUGUGUGUGUACAUUCACGCAUGUAUAUAGGAGUCAAACCACUGACUGGAAAUGGCUCUCCAGGGUUUCAAACUGGAGUCUUUGCUAGCCCUGCCUGGAGAUGUGAAGGAUGUUGUACACUGCCUGGUUGUACACUAAAUUGUUUUGAAUGCUUUCUAUCCACCUGGAAUUAGGAGAAAAAAAGAGAAGAUAAUCUAUCAAUGUAUUUGUCCAAAUGUCUCAGCUGUCAGAGAUGGAGGUGGCAAAUGAAGAGAGGCCACUCUUAGUUGUGUUGCCUAUACAAUUGCUCCCUUUUCCCACCAAGUGAAAACCACUUUAUUCUUGGGGGCCUUUUAAAAGCUUCAUAAUUCCAAACCACCACCACCCAUGUUGGUUUUCUCGCUGGUUUUGUCUCUUCUCUCCAUUUUUAUAUUGAAUGGUUGUUGGCCAUAUUUUGUGAGCUGCGUUUGGGAUCUUUGAUCAAGGUGGUUAAUAUUUGUUUGUUUGUUUUUUUGUUUGUUGCCCUUAAAUCUCACUUUUCCUCUAAGGUGCUAAGAGUGGCCUGCCUUGUUCUCCUCUUCACAACACCCCUGUGAAGCUAAGAGGCAGUGACUGGUUCAAGGUCACCCAGUAAGCUUCAUGACUGAGUGGGGAUUUGAACCCUGGUCUCCCAGGUCCUAGUCCAAUACUCCACCCACUAUACCAUAAGUUGCAGGCUGAGUCUUUCUUUAAAAGCAAAGAAACCACCAAGUCAAAGUUGACCAUUCCUCCAAAUUUUGCCCAUUUGUGACAGGCUAAAUGGUCUCCCCAUACAGGUUUUAAAAGCUUAAGAGUCCACAUAUAUUUGGAAUAUUUACCAUAAUGGAUGUCAUCUGGGUUCAUAGAAAGGGUACCACAACAUCUUUAACCAGCCCUUUGGCUGAUCGACAUCUAUUGCCCUUUCAAAGGUGUUGCGGAAGGGUGGAUUAUUGUGUUGUCUUUGUUUUUAAUGUUAUUAUGCAUUUUUGUGGUUUUUUUAUAUUAUAAUUUUAUGUUGUGAGCCACCCUGAGAUCUAUUGGUAUAUAGCAGUAUACAAAUUUAAUAAAUAAAAAUAAAUAAAUAAAUACAGUGGUACCUUGGUACUCGAAUGGCUUAGUUGUUGAAUCAACUCCCAAACGCCAAAAACCCGGAAGUAUGGUAAGUGUUCCAGUUUUUGGAUGUUUUUCAGAAGCUGAACAUCCGACACUGCUUCCACUUGAGUGCAGGAAGCUCCUGCAGCCAAUCAGAAGCCGCGUCUUGGUUUUUGAACAGUUUCGGGAGUCGAACGGACUUCUGGAAUGGAUUAAGUUUGAGGACCAAGGUACCACUGUAAUCACUUUGAAAGCAAGAUUUCCUUGUGGAUCAGACUGUUACAUCAUCAAAGAAUUGGGAUGCAUGGGAUAAUGCCACUUAACAAACGAAGGUGGGUCACAUUAAUUGAACUGCCUCCUCCUGCUUACAAAUGAUGUCAUUUCCAGACUGAAUCCAAUGUAGUUAAGGGCAGUUGAGAAAGACAGGGCUAAUUCUGCCAGGCUUGAAAGAGCUGCGUUCAAGCUGGGCAUCUCAACAGAAGGCACAUCAUUAGAUUGCCUCAAAGUGAUGCCAUAACCAGUGGUAGGUAAAGCUCAUGUAUGGCAAUCCCAGUGCAAACCUGCAUGAGCAGUACAGCAUUAGAAGGACUGCUUAAUUCAGAUCAGAAAGGCAUGUCUCAGCCCAUGAUGACACAGGAAGAGAAGUAAAUGAAGGCAAACAGGAUGAUUAAAUGCUUGGAAACUUUUGUUGCAAUAUUCAGGAAGUAUACAAGUUUUCCUAAUUCAUCAUACUAUUUAUUUAUUACUAGUAAAUUAAUGGGCUUCUGAAAAGAAUUCAUUACCCUUUUUACACACACUGCUACUUGCGGAUCAUUUAUUCAUCUGUGUUAUCUUGUGUGACUAAAAACAGCUGUAAUUACAUUGUUAAACACUGAUUAAUAAGCAGCCCACAUCUCUAAUAAAAGGAAACAAGCUAAAAAAUAAAGUGCAAGCUCAUUUAAAAAAUAAAAUAAAAAAUGCAACCCCAUCCUUAACAGAUCUACUUGGAAGUACAUUGCAUUAAUUCAAUUGGACUUACCUUCAAGCAAAAUAUGCUCAGAAUUGUUAUUGGUUGUAUAGUUGUAUAAAAACCUCUCUUUUUCUUCUGCAAAGAAUGAUUUGGCAGAUGAAUAGGAGAAGAGUAAUGGAAAUAAAUAACUAAAACAUUUCCCUGGGAAUGAAUACGGGACUUAACCAAUAUUCAUUUCAGCCUGAUGACAUUUUCUUUGAGAAACACGAGUAAGCAGGUUUGUUUACAUGAGGACAGACUGAGCCGACAAUCCUAGGUCUACUUGCCUGCAAAUAAGCCUCAUUGAACUCAAUUAGACUUUCUUUUGACUAAAUAUUGACCGGAUUGUGCUUUCAAGCUUCAGUCCUAUAGACACUUACUGGGCAGUAAGUCCUAAUGAGUACAGCGAUACUAACCUCUGAGCUAACACACAUAGAUAGGAUUGCACUGUUGAUUCUACCAGCAAAGCAGCAUUUCCUCAGCAUGAAUAACAUGUUUAGUUCUUCAGACAAGUAUAUUUUGCAUACUUAUAUUAAUUAUGCAAUUAACUUUCCAGCCAUGUUGAGUCUGGGUCUGUUUUAUGGAUUAGCGACAGGGUGACACAUUAAGCCACCCCAGCAUUUCAUUAUUAUUUUUUCCGGGAAAUUCAGUUUGAUGGGAGCAACAUGUCGCAAAUUGUUAAGUGUCGGAAAUUGGAACAGCUGCUAAUGGAAAACAAGAAUGCUUCAAACUCUUGAUAGAAUCAAGCUACUUACUUUUACAGUAUGAAGUUAUAGGGAUUUAAAAUGAACAAUAAGGCUUUUAAGAAAGCUUUCACAUCAACGUUUUCAAGAACAACCUGUCCUAAAAGAUCAGUGUGGCUCAUUAAUGCAUAUUAAAAAUUGAAUUAAUUAUUCUUUUCAAACAAUGAAACAAUGUUGCAGUGUCUGACUCAAUGCAAGGAGUUAGGGAGAAAUUACACAUUGUAUACAAAACUGUAUACCAGGAGCCUGAUGGUCCUUUUAUUCUUUUGAAAAGCUGUUUUGGAAGGGGGCAAUUCAAAGCAGAGUGUCAAGGGGUGCAAGUUCUUUUCUCAUCUACCAUAUUUCUGAUAAAAAUCUUCCCCUUCAUGCAGCAGCAUUCUUUGCAGUAUUAUAGUAGGAGGAAUAUCAGUACAUAGUAGGAAUAUCAGUACAUAAGGCUGCAAUCCUAUAUUUUGAACUAAGCCCAAUUGAUUGCAGUAAGACUUCUGAGUGGACAUGUAUAGUAUUGAUAAUCAUCCAAACUCAUCAUUAGUAUUCUGGAAAUCUUUCUUCCUCCUUGUCCUGGAGAAUUUUGUAAAUCAAGAAAGGGGUACAUCUUCCUUAUAUCUCCUUUAAUAGAUAACCACUAGCCAUACUGUCUGGGUUUUCUGGGUAGUCUAACAGUCUCUAGACAACCAUAGGUUCUCCAUCUUGUUGUAAAUGAGGAUUUUUUUUGUUCUCCUGUAUGAUUUACUUGUACUGCUGUGUGUUAAUUGGUUUUAUGUGCUUUGCACAUUACAGAGUGUUACUGUUAAUUUGUUGGCCUUGGUAGUGAUUGUGUGAUUAAUAGCGGCUGGAGUCUUCUGUUGCUAGGCCUUACCACAGGUGAGAAUACUAAUUUACUUGCCUACAACAGUUAUAAACAAACUUCUAUAGCCAGCUGCUCCCACCACAGCUUUCCAUUACAACAGAAGUUGAUGGAAACACUGGGAGGAAAUUCAAAAUGGAGAAGAACAUGUGGAAAUCACUACAUUUUAAAACCACAGAUUUUUAUAUUGAGAAGAUUCCUGCCCCUCUACCUGCUAAAAAACCCCCGUCUUUCCCAAGCCACAAUAAAUGUCUGAACGAAAUUGAGAUUUCAAGUAUCUUGCAAUUUUACAUUUAGCAAACAGAAAACUUCUAUGCAGCCACCCCUGCUGGCCUUUCAUAAGAUUUCAUAUAGUCAGACUAUUCCAGUUUAGGCAGAAAGUCCACAACUGAGAUUAGUACACACAAUGCAUCUUUCCUAGUACCUUCCAGAAUUUUAGCUGGUAUGCCUCCUAUUUGACUCAGCUGGUCCUCUAAAGGCUAGGGAGACCAGAAGGGCAAUUGAAUGGCUCCCACCACUUAGAAUAAGAGAUACUUAGAGUUGAUUUGCCUAUGUUCCACCUAUUCCUAUUUACCGAGAGCAGUCCCCCCCUUUUCUGCAAAUAACCAUCUCUAGUUUACCUUUCAAAAUGGUGAACAUGUGUACAAAUACGUACUAGAGUGCACUAGCUUCUCUUACACACCCUGCUGCUUGUUAACGGCUUAUCCAGAUACUUAGCAAAUGUUGCUGACUACUUGGGUUGCAGCUGUUCUGCAAUAAAUAAAACCAGAUCCAUUGUGAAAUUUAAUAUUCUGUUAAAAUUCUUAAGUUUUCCAAAAAACUGAACCUGUUAUGGCCAGCCUGGUUAUGUGCCCUGCUUUAAAAGCCAGUGCAGGGCAGGCUAUUGCAGGUGAAAGGAAUAUGGCCCAUCGAGAGGAACUGUGAGUCAUUUAUAAUAGUGGUUGCUGGGGCAGAAGUAGAUUGGGCAGAGACCUAUGCAGAGUGAAGAUAACAAAUGUGUAAGUAUCCCUGUUUGAAUCAGUCAGAUGGAGGUAUGGAUUUACACACACGAAGAGUGAAAUGAAGUAAAAAGUACUAGCAAGAGCACAAAUGUUUUUGAGUACCGUAGUUCUUUGCCCAAAUUUGGAUUUAAUAACACAUGAUCUAUGCUCUGUGUUGAUUCUGUUACGUUGGCGGUGAAAUCCUAUACAUGUCAGAAGCAAAUCCCCUUGUGUUCAAUGGAGCUUUCUCCCAGCUAAGUAGGUCUAGAACUGCAGUCUUACUCUGAUUGCACAGGUAUCUGAGAUAAAUAAAGAUUUGUGUUGUUGCAUGCACUUUGAUAGGUGUUGGGGUGCAUUUUACACUAGUGUUUUAGUUUAAAAUCUUUUUUGCUGGUGAGCUGCGUUGAGAGGGCUUUUUGUUCUGAAAAUAGUAAAAGACAAAACUUACAGCUGAUCUAUAAAUUGAGGUAAGCAAUAUAGUACAUAAUUAAUGGGAGUGAACCUGUUUAGAUUGUUACUGUGUUUAAAUGCAUACUACGUUCAAGUCCACAUAAAGCUAUGUCAGAAAAAGAGGCUUUAAAUCGAGGGGCUCCCCCAACCUCUCUGAUACACAGGUUUUCUACCAUAUUAUUAUUAUUAUUAUUAUUAUUAUUAUUACUACUACUAUACAAACAGAGUUUUGUUUUGUUUUUCCAUGGGAAAAAUGGGAACUCCAUACCUUAUGGUUUAUCUAUAUUUGUGUAUGGCUAUUAUUUUUAAAAAAACAAAUAAAGCCACACAUUUCAUGAUAAGACUACAAGCUGACUAUUUAUUAGGGUUUGAGCAGUAUGGAAUCCAAUGACGACCAAACAAGAAAAGUCACACACACAUAUACCAACUUCUGCUGCUAGGAAGUUUAAAAUAAUAUGUUUUCAAAAGCUGUUAUUAUUGAUGGCAUUAUUACUCUUCAGCCAAAAGUUAUAUAUUUGGGAAAGCUACUGGAUGGGAAUGGUAACGUAUCUGAUCUCUCACUCCCAGACUUGUAUACUUGAACACUUGCAGGAUAUCCAUGCUAUAACUCAGCACUGAUGACAUGAUAAUCCAGGGUUAUGGAUGUUGUAUGUAAUGGUGGGAAUAAAGAAGUAACACUUUCCGUGUGUGUACUGAAUUUAUAAUUUUGCUUUCCUGGUUGUUUCAGUAUAUCUUGCACGAAAAUGCACAAGCCAAUUAUUUUGCAUUGUUGCGCAUCAAGUGGAUGCCAUGUUCUGUAGAAGAUACUAUAUGUUUCUAGCAUGGAUGGCACAGGGAUUCACAAACAACUGGAUUUGACAAUGCCAGUGCCUAUAAUAAUUCUAUCACCAUGAGCCAACUCCAAACCCGGGGGGUGGGAAAUAUUAAGAAUAAAAUCUAACAGUUUGAUCCUAAAUAUUAGUAUAGUAGUCUCCAUCUUACUUUUUUAUGUGCAGCGACACCAAAAUACAGUAUCUAUAUUAAGCAUAAAGGCAAUCUGUAUAUCUUCUGGUUAGAGCAUGGUGCUGAUAACACCAAGGUUGCAGGUUUUGAUCCCCCUACAGGACAGCUACAUAGUCCUGCAUUGAAGGGGAUUGGACUAGAUGAUUCUUGGGGUCCCUUCCAAUGCUAUAAUUCUGUGAGCCAUCAUAUAAAAAGGACGUGCAUAAUACUUUUGUGUAACACCCACCCUUGACAUAUUCUUUAUGUUUCCAGCUGUAGAUUUCUAAUAAAUACUUGGUCAUAGAAUGAAACUACAGAUGUUGGUGGAUUGCAUGACUCCUUGGCUGAAGUGAAUACUUGAAGCCCUGAGUUUUUCUCCAGCUAGCGUUUUAUAGCCUCUGCUUUGGCUUUGGUGAUGGGAAGGAUCCAGCACGAGAAGGGUGGUCAGACCUGUCUGUCUGUCUGUCUGUCUGUCUAGCUGACUGGCUUUUCUUGUUUCCAUCCUUCCUUACUAACAGCCACACCUGGUAUGUUAGGGAAUGUAGUAAUGUUUCCAGGGCACCAGAUGUUGCCUAGGGUGCCUUGGGAAAACUGAAACUUCCAGCACUCCAGGUGCCAGGAUUGGGAGAAUGCAGACAGAGAGGAGGAGGAAAAAGAGGAGAGCUAGACAUCUCCGCUUAUGUAACUGUACUAGGUGAGAGAGGCAGCAGCAAUGAGUGGCAAAGUUAAAAUUAUUUUGCUGCAAAGAACUUUUUCUCUAAGCAUUCGCCACUGUUUUAAUUUUUGGUUCCAAUCUAAAAUGUUCCAGAGGGAGCUUACCUCCUCUAAGUAGAGAUGGAGAAUUCAAUGGAGGUUUCAAACAGAGUUUAAAAGAAGCCUAUUAACCACGUUUAGGCUGCACCUUGUAUUGUACUUCAUUAUCAGAAAAGUUUAUUGCUAUUUAGGCCCCAUUAUUAUAAGUGCAUAGCAUGCUUUUAUUACCCUCUAAUAUGUGUAAAGUUCUUUUUUUUAAGAAACAGAUUCAGCUCACCUCCUGUGUGACUGUGGUUAGAUGCUGUGGAGUUGUAAAGUCUCCAUUUAAAGACUGUACAUCAUAAAAAACAUUAUAGUUUUAUUAAUGAUCGUGUAGGUUUAACAUACUGUAUAAUAAAGGAUCAAUGCUAUAACAUGAUUAGCUACCUUAUGUUAUAUGAUUUCGGCUAAUGAGGAAAGACAGCUCAACAGCCACAUGACAAGGGGUGGCAAAAUGUGACUUAUUGACAAACAAGGAAGCUUUUCCUGCUUAUGUGUUGUUGCUCCUUUUUGUGCUUCCUUUAAACUAGAAGCCUUUGUAUUAUUGGUAGAAUGGUGUUCAGCCUUUUGUUUAGGGUCUUCUACCUUUAACCAGGCUUGUGGGAGAUCUUUUAAUAUUUCUUAGCAUUAGAUUUACUUGCCCAGUAAAUAUAGCUGAUGAAAGAGAAGCUGGCGAUCCAUAAAAGACCAGGCUGCAGGGAUCCUCAUUAAUCUUCUAAUAGUUUUUGCUGUCAUCCGUCUUUAAAGUUCCUUGCCUUGUAAAGUAUUUGUAGUGAAAGCUGGAGCACUCUCGGCCUUCCACUAAGCAGUGACUUCCAGCCAGAUCUCCAACAAAAGCUUUCAAACAUUUUUAGCUUCAGCUGUUUCAUUGGCCCAGGUUUUCCACCAUAAAAGGGAAAAUAUUGUUUGUUUAACUGGGUGUUACAAAGCCAAGGAAAGGAUCAGGAGCAGAGGCACACACACACACACAGAGAGAGAGAGAGAGAGAGAGAGAGAGAGAGAGAGAGAGAGUGUGUCUGGCUAUCUAUACUCAGUAAUGUGAUUAGUAGCUUGUCUUGCUAUGGGGAGUUGAUAAAAUAAAGCAUUUUUGAAUAAAUUCUGUAUAUCAAAAAAUUUGUUUUGUUGUUGUAAAAUUCAGAAGACUAAGCUGAACAGUCUGAUUAAAAGAGCCUCGGAAUGAUCCACAACCGAUGGGGCUAAAUUGGCUCAAAUGAAAUGACUGCAUUCUACUUUAACAAAUUUAUAGAUUGGACUGGCAUGGUUUCAGAAUGCACAUUUACCAUAUAGCAAGUCCUUACUUCUAAGCAAAUGUGCAUAGGAUUGGGCUGCUGGGCUGCAAUCCUAUGCAUACUGAGCUGGGUGUGGGCACAACUGCAUGUAAAGGAGCUUACCUCUGAGUAAGCAAGGGUGGAUCCUAAUAACCCAGGACACUAUUAUUAUUAUUAUUAUUAUUAUUAUUAUUAUUAUUAUAUUGGAUAAUUUCAAAGUGGUGAGUGAAACAAUGGUUAAAUGUGCUUGUUGUUCAGAGCUUAUCUUUCCACAUGAGAAACAAUCUGUACACCUAUAAGGAUUUUUUUAAAAAAAAAAUCUUUUGCUUUUUUGGAAUGUGUUCCCAAUUAGUUUUAGAAAAAGAAGGCACUCAUCUGGACUAGGAACAAGUCCCUUCUCACCAUCUGUUAUGGAUUUUUGUUUUGAGUUAUAGACCCCCACGUUCCAUUAAAGAACUAAGUUUUAAAACACUGUUAUAAAGUGCUAAUAUUUGGAUAACCCACAAUGGCCAGGUAAGCACAACUUCACAUGAGAACUGGGAUCCGACCACACAUAUAGCUUUCAGCCCCUUUGGGAACACACACACAUAUAUAGAUUAUGUGCUAAUUAUUACAGGGUAAUUUACAAAAAUGAGAACACAGGCUGUGUACAGACAACAUGCUAUUUAAGGCUGAAGCAAAAAGUCAAAUGUGGUUAAAUUAGGAUGGAUGAUGACAAUUAAUGUAAGCAAAAAAAUUGGCUUGGGCUUAGCAGUUAAGGGUCAAAUUAGAAACUGGGCUACAGUCCCAUAACAUAUUUAUAGGUUGUAGGUGAACAGAAGGCCUGGUCGUAUUCACAGGGCAAUCUGUGAACAAAACUUACUUGGGAGUAAGCCCCGCAGGAACUUAGGUUAGAAUAGAAUGGUGCUUUCAGGCUAUUUCCCCCUCUCAAAAUGAAAAUGAAUCUGAGCUGUACAGAAAGAGGGGCUCUAAACACCACAGGCAUUUUUCAAUUGCUUACCCACCACUUUGUAAUACAUAGAAGGAUUCAGUUAUGAAAUUAUUUGUAAGAACUAAAGAAUAGGCUUGUUCAGGGGUUCUAAACUCCUUGCAUGCUUUUCUUGCUUAGCAAGGAAGGUCAGGGCUAGCAUUCAUGGAGUUAUUUGGUGUGGCACAUGUGUAUAUGACUCUGCCCUUCUUCUCCACUGAGUGUCUAGGUCAAUGCCUGAAUGCAGCUUAAGUGCAAAGCUGAUUCAGCAGAAAUAGCUUUGUGAGGAAGUUGUACAUAGGCAGAACACUCAUCCUUCACUGGGAGUAAGCCCAUACAACACAUGCUUCCAGUCCUAUUCAUUGCAAUGGAGCGUUAGGUUAGACACAACUAAUUUGCCCCUUAGCUUGAAUUCAGCUAAACCUGUGCGCUAAUAGAAGUGAAUGCAAGGGCUCCUACUGGUGCACUAGAGCUUUCCUCCCCUUCCCUCUGCCUGUGGUCCCCACCCCUCCCCCAAAUCUAUUCUGGGGGGUUGGGAGAACUCCCAGAAUAAUGUGAAUGGGGGAUGAGGAUAGGAGGGAUUGCAGAAAUGCUUGUGAUGAUGAAAUGAUCAUAUUAUAGUUAUGCUGAAUCCCCCCCCUUUAAUUCCAGUGGGGCAAACAGCCUGACCUUAAUCAUACUUCCCACCCCCAAAGUCAAGUCUUAUUGAUUUUUAGUAGGAUGUAUGUCCAAGGAAACAUGGCUAGGUAUGUUGCAACCAUCUUUGUCUGAACAUGGACCAAUCCAUGUGUUUAGCGAAAGCAUGUGGAUUUGAAAACUACUAAACGUAAAAUACAGUGGUACCUCGGGUUAAGUACUUAAUUCGUUCUGGAGGUCCAUUCUUAACCUGAAACUGUUCUUAACCUGAAGCACCACUUUAGCUAAUGGGGCCUCCCGCUGCCACCGUGCCGCCACUGCGCGAUUUCUGUUCUCAUCCUGGAGCAAAGUUCUUAGCCUUAGGUACUAUUUCUGGGUUAGCGGAGUCUGUAACCUGAAGCGUAUGUAACCUGAAGCAUAUGUAACCCGAGGUACCCCUGUAUGUUUAUGUACAAUUGUGCCAGAUUUCACUUGAAACUGUUUUGCUUAUUUCAGUGAUUUUUAGGCUGCCCUUUGGAGCCAGGCCAUCACAAACUCUACUAACUUGAGCCUCUUAUAUGCUCAGCCCUGGUACAUCCAGCAAUUCAUGUACCACCCCCAUGUAUUAAUACAUAAGGCAGAAUCCAUGUGGAGGGAUCCAAGAUCUUGGCAUGGGAUCAGCAGCCUAGUUAUGUUUGACUGCACUGCAACAUCAAUAGCCAUUACUGACCCUCACUAUUGCCCUUGCCAGCAUUAUACUUGUUUAAGAAAAAAGAAAGAAAGAAAAAGUAUGCACACAAACUAGCUUAAAACUACAUGGUUUAAUAGCCAUGUAUAUUUCUUACACUCGUCUCCAAAAUAGUGCUUUUUGGUUUCUUUUCAUCGUUUGUUUAAUCAACACGUCAUUAGCAUAUUAUGCACUCCAGCCAUCCAGCCAUUACUGAAAAUAUUGAAUCAUCUGAAUACUGGUGUAGCCCUCUCUUAGACACCUCAUUUAAUAAUUCCUGCCAACUUGACAACCAGCCAUUAGCAGUUAGAGAGGGAGAAGAAUUUGCACUGAGUAAUUUAUAGGAUGACUUUUACCUUUUUAUCAUUGCAAAUUGUUUGUGAGAAAAAUAAAAUUGUCAUCUAGAGUUAUCCACUGAAUAAUCACUUGGGCAUCUACUGGUUUACAAUCACUGGAAAAAUUCCGUAUACAGAUUUCUUUUUCAAGCAAAAUAACCUUAACGGUGGUCUUUUAACCAAACGACAUGUUCUUGUUUGUUAUUUGUUAAACAAUAUUGUUAAGCAAGAGUGCAUGUGAAAUAUGCUUAUAAGGUAUCAAUUCUAUAUUCACUCACUUGUGAACAAGCACCAUUGUAUUCAAUGAUUGAAUCCAGGGCUGUUUUUCAGCUGGAACACACCGGAACUCAGUUCCAGCAUCUCUCAGGUGGGCGCCAUUGCCAUUCUAAGAGAACGAGGGAGGUGUUCAUCUCUUUUUUCUGGAAAAAUAGCAAUGGUUGUAGCCAAGUGCAAGCUGAAUUCUGCUUAUGCAAUGCGACUUCCUCUUCCUAUCCUUCCCUUGCACACUUCCAAAAUCUACCCCAGAGGAUCCUUCAAUUCUCUUUUGUAGAUUUUGAAGGUCUAUCAUGUGGGGGAGAGGAAAAAGAAGUUCCAUUGCACCAGCAGAAGUCUGUUGCAUCUGGAACAAUAGCAAUGGAUACAACCAGUGCUUUUUCUGGGGGGACCCAGGGGUACGCACACCCCUAAACAUUUUGUGAAUCUUUGUACUUUUGUUCAUUUACUGUAUUUAUUUUUCCCAAUUUGAAAUAUAAAGUGGUGAUUUUCUUGAGUCAAAAUGACAGUACCCCUAAACACUUUUUAAGGGCGGGAAAAAGCACUGGAUACAACCCAUAGUUCUGAGCAGACAUAUGUAAGAUUAUUCUGUAAAAAUAGUUCCGGGAGUGUAAUAGGUAAGAAACUUAGGCUGCAAUCCUAGGUACAUUGACUUGGGAGUAAGUUCCAUUGUGCCCAAGGCUUGAUUACUACAAUGCACUCUAUGUGAGGCUUGCCUUAGGCUUGGAUCACAAGCUGUAGCAGGUGGAAAGGCAGUUGGUUAACUGGAUCAACAUAUUGCCAGCAUAUAACUCUUGUGCUUUUCACUGGCUACCAAUAUGUAACCAGGCCAAGUGAAAGGUUUUAGGACUGGUAUACAAUGCCCUUAACAAUUUGGAACCAGCGUGUCUGAGACAUCACCUUACCCCCCGAUAUACCAGUACAUGCCUUAUGCCCCUGGGGUCUGUCUACUCAGAAUGAAAUUGCUAGGUAGUUUUAGGCCAGCUCAGGAACUGUCUUGUGUUUUAUUGAUCUGUAAGCUGCUCUGGGAGCUUUUUUUUUUGGCUGAAAAACCAGGUCUACAGAUGCUAAAUAAAUAAAUAACAUGAGUUUCUGUUGUUGCUAUUAUUAGUUCCUUGAUUUUGCGGAUAUCCCUGUUACAAAAAUUGUUGAUAGAAAUAUAUGUGGAAAGUUGACUGGGCUCAUAGAAUCAUUCCGAGUGAUAAAUACUCAAGUCCUCCCCCUCCCCCACCUUCUUCAUAUUUUUACAUCAGCUUCUAGGCAUAAUGUUGUUUGCAUUUUGCAUUAGCUUCCUAAACCACUGUGAAAAUGUCAUGUAGAACCAUAUCAAAUGUCUUCCAAAUGUCAAGAUGUACUGCAUUAGAGCCAUAUGAUUAAUCCUAUUGAAGUCAUUGGGACCACUUGUAGGAACUUGGAGGCUUACGGUGGCAAUCCUGCUCCGCUGAAAUCCCCCCAGUUUUUGCUAUUGACUUCAGUGGGUGAAGGAUCCCACCCAUGAACCCAAAUUAGCUAUUUGAUCAUUUCAUUUUACCUAAAUGCUUGGACGUUGAUUGCAUUAAUUGUUCUAAUAAUACACCAGGCUUAAGUUAAACCUUCUGUUGUGGCUAACUGUAAAUGCUAUCAUAUGCAGCUGACCUGAGAAAGGAACAGGCUAUUUUAUGCAUAGUCAGUGGGCCUGCUCAAGUAUUGUAGGGAGAUAAAUUUUGAGGGGAGGGAAUCCACCACAGAUAACCAACAAUUCCUCCACACAUGGUUGUUGUGUAUCACAUAUAAUGUUCUUACCCCUUCAGUGUGCAUGAAUGAGCUCACAUGUAUGCUACUGUACAUACAGAACAUUAAGAAGCAGUAAUACCAAAGAGUGGGCUAUAUCUCUUUAACAAUUAUAUGAAUAACAUUGUAUCAGUUUGUUAUCUUGUUAUGAUAUUCAGGAUAGUGAAUUAGGGCAUGAUCCACCAAACUAAAACACUUCAAAAAUCCCUGUUGAUUUUAGUAGACUAAAGUGUGCAUUUAACAUACCCCUUGAAAUGUACAGUAGUUACAUGAGCUUAACUUGGGGCUUAAGCUUCUCCUGCAUAAACAUACCCAUUCAUUGUGAUCUUCCUGGAUUUACCCUUCCUGGGUGUGCCAGUCUGUCAAAGUCCAUCUUGUAGGCAACCCAGGAGAAGGCCUUUUCCAUUGUGGCACCCAGCUUGCAGAAUUGCCUAAGGCAUGUGCCAACCUUGAAGUGUUUCUGUCAGUCACUAAAAGCUUACCUUUCACCACAAGUGUUUGCUGGUCAUUGAUACCUAGCCUGUUGUAAUUAUCGUAUUGGCCUGAAUAUAAGCCACAAUUUUUUUUCCAAAUCCCAACCAUGAAAAGUUUAAAGUGCGGCUUAAAUUCGUGACCUUACAAAUACGGGCUUUUAUGGGACUUCCGGUGAGGCAAGAUGGCAGGAGCCAUGGCAGUGUGUAGCUCCCAGGACCACCAGCACCAGCAUAAGACACAAUUUUAAGGGAGCAGCUUAUAUUUGGGUAUUGUCUUUUUCUUUUCUUCCCCUUGAAUUUUAAAGGUAUGGCUUAUUUGUGGGUACGGCUUAUAUUCGGGCCAAUAUGGUAUUAUAGCUUGUUGUGGAUGCUCAUGUAUCUAUUGUUUCAAUGUAUUGAUUUUCAUUUUGUCUUCUAUGGCUCUAAAAUUGCCUUGAAAGUUUUCAUGAAAGGCAGUAUAGAAGUGUUAUAAACAAACAUACAUAGCUGGAUCAAGUAAUUCUUUUAUAAACCAUUGACUGACAAAUUCCUGAAAUGGGUAAAUGAAUGAUAUGGGGAUAUUGCAUCAAAUUCAUUUACCUCAAGAAGUUCAGAAAAUGAUACAUUAAAUCAGUACAGGGUUUAGCAACUGUAUCACCUUGUACAAGCUUUAAAUACUUACAGCACAGUAGUCUAUAAUGGCUAUUAAGUUAUAGUUACUGUUACUGUUACUGUUACUAAGUUACUAUAGUUACUAAGUUACUGUUAUCGGCAUCUGCAAAGGAACAUUUCAGGCUGCAAGGAAAGAUUCCUCCUAAAGCGGGGCUUGCAGUCAGUGCCAGAUUUAAAUUCAGUGCCUCCUGCAGUCCCCAGUUUCAGCAGGGAUCGCCUGCAUUCAGAAGCAACUAAUCAGUACCUCCCAAGUGGAACCAACUCCAGAAGAGCUUGCAUUGGGUGCCAUAUUUAAUGUUGCUAAAUGCAAACGCUGCCAGCCAGUGAACAAUUGAGAGUACAUCUGAAGGUUUCCCUUUGCAGCUGCAUCUUUGCCUGAUGCCAUAUGAUUUCAGGUGUGGGGCAAGUGGGUGUGACUGGGCGGAAAUGCCCACAUGGGCUAAUGUAGCACCCCUUCCAGGACUAAUUUAGCAUGCAGGCUGGAGACUCCCCAUUCCUGGUGUACAGUCUUGAUAUACAGGUAGCUCUUCAUGGGUUUCAUCACCUCCUGAUCUCACUACUUCUACCAUGAAGCUGUUGGCCAUGCAUUUUAUUAUAUCUUGAGGUUCUCUGUGAAGUUUGAACUGUGCUUUGUCCUGUUAUGUUUUGGUUGUUGGUAUUGUAUGCCUUUUUAUCUUUUCCUACACUGCUUAGAUUUUUUGAGGGAUGUUUUGGAUGCCAUAAAUAUUUAAAUAAAGCAACAUGCUUUAGCUAUUAUUGUUACUGUGGCUGUAUUCCACCAUUCCUAGUAUAGACCAUAUAAUACAGUAUAUCGUGACAGACAGAGGGAGUCCUCUCCCCAUUAUAUCCUUACAAGAAACCUGUGGAGGCACAUUCGGCUGAGUAACUCACACAGUGCCACACAGUGUUUCUUGGUCUAAAACAAAGUUAAACCCAGAUCGCAACAGGGUGUACUUAGCUUUCUCAAAUGGGGCUUAAAUGUGCUUCAGUUUGGCUGGACUGUAACCAUUAUUCUUACUUUCUUCUAAUUAUAUAGUUCACUGAUUCCCAGAACGUUCUUUCCCUUUCCAUCCAUUUAGCAAUAUCCCCAACAUUAUCUAUUGAGGAACAUAUGCCUUUUUGCCUUUACUUUUACUUAUAAAGGUUACCUCAGAUUACUUCCACAAUGGCAAUCAUAUUGAAUAUGGUAAAUAGGCUACCUUAUAGUGUUCCCCCCCCUUUUGCCUUCAUUGCUGCAUAAUAAACGAGAUGCAUCUUUUCCCACAGAAACCGCCUGCCAUGCACUUGCUAUGUACAGCGUUAAUAUUAUUCAUUAAAAAACUAAUAGCUGACUUCUUAAAGCCUGUAUUGUUCAGCACCUGGGUAGCUAGCUUCAGCUGAAAGUUAUUGGAUUUAGGCAUAGAAGAAAGAUUUGUUCCUUAGUGGCAGGUCUUCUUUUAUAUCUUUAGGCUUGUCACAAAUUAUUUGGCAAUUGGUUUCACUGCUCUUACAUGACAGCUCUGAGCUGUCACGUUAAGAACUGUCUUGUGUCACUGUUCCAUUGGGACAGUUCAGUGAACAGCUUGAAGUUGAACUCCACUCGGUAUGUUUAAAGCUUUCUUCUCUAAGUAUCUAAAAUGAUGGUCCCCCCUUAAAAAUGAUGAUUUAGCUCAAGAAUGGAGAACCCCUGGCCCUACAGAUGUUGUUGAACUCACAUCAGUCCCAGGCAACAUGGCUAAUGGUCAGGAAUUAUGGGAAUUCAAGCCCAAUGCCAACUCAGGGCCACCGGCCUGUCAUGAUGUGUGAAAGUUCUAGUAUAACUCCACCACUAAUACACCACAGUGGUACCUCAGGUUACAAACACCUUGGGUUACAAACACUUCGGGUUACAAACUCCGCUAACCCAGAAGUAGUACCUCGGAUUAAAAACUUUACCUCAGGAUGAACACAGAAAUUGCAUGGCGGCGGCAGUGGGAGGCCCCAUUAGCUAAAGUGGUACCUCAGGUCAAGCAUGGUUUCAGGGUAAGAACGGACCUCCGGAAUGAAUUAAGUUUGUAACCACUGUAUUAUGGCAACAAUGACAUGUAGCAGAAUAUAUCCACCACCUAAUACAGCCAGUGGAGGCUCCUCUGUGGGGCAAAGUGGGGCACAGUCCUCCCAAGAUUCUGAACCCGCCCCAAACCUCCACAGUCAUAGCCCAGUCUUUCUCUUUUCACCCAAAUACAGUGGUACCUCGGGUUACAGACGCUUCAGGUCACAGACUCUGCUAACCCAGAAAUACUACCUCGGCUUAAGAACUUUGCUUCAGGAUGAGAACAGAAAUCGCACAAUGGCGGCACGGUGGCAGCAGGAGGCCCCAUUAGCUAAAGUGGUGCUUCAGGUUAAGAACAGUUUCAGGUUAAGAACGGACCUCCAGAACAAAUUAAGUUCUUACCCCGAGGUACCACUGUACAUUAUUAAUACAUUUACAUUGACUGAGAGGCUACCUAGAUGCUUCUGCCUAUCUCCUCUGCUUAGCCAUUCAAAAUAAUCACUACCAUCAGGUCACGCCACCCUCAUCUCCAGCAAGGUCACCCAGGGAGCAUCAUAGAUGAGCAGGUACCUCUCCUGCAGGUCACUGCUGCAUGAAUAAUGGAAGCCAGGUAUAUACACUACACAACUCUGCCAGUCCCCAUGCUAAUCACCACUAGGCCAGAGAGGAGGGUCAGCGCAGAGUGAGCUCACAAAACCAAUAACAGAAGGCCUGUAAUAUUUCUUCUCUAGAGUACCUCCUGUUUUUCUUUGAAGUUCCUAUUUGCUGGCAGAUGACAGCUGAUGGAUGAAGUGCCCGAUAUAUUCCAUUCUUCUUUGUCUUGUGAUUUCCCAAUUUGCUUAAAAUACAGAUCUCCCCGCUUCCAGGCCCGACAGCUUCUCUCAAGGCAAGCUCUGCUUUAAGUAUGAACCUCAAGCUAACUAGAAUUUCUCAUGUGUUCUGACAUUUUGUACCCACAGUGUCACAGACAAAAAUGGUGGUGACUGCAGAAAUGAAACUAGCUACUUGAUGUUUACAAAUCAUGUUUGUGCAGAAAACCACCUUUUUCCCCCCUAUGAAAAAGUCAACAUAUGAAAUCUACAGAGGCUUUUUCCACUCGAGGAAAUUGUAGGCACAUGUGGAAUUGAUAACGCAUCUCCCUGCAUGCAUGUCUGUGGUUUGCUUUUAUAUAUAUCAGCAAAAUUCUCUUCAUAUGCUACAAUAAUUUUCAAUUAAUCUGCUUUAAACUUUCACUUUUAUGUAAUCUGACAUACAAAUCUUGUUACAUGGUUCUUUUAACGUUAGUCAGGAUGUUCUACUUUAUGAGAUCUUGACCAAGGAAUAUUUAUGUUGGAUGGCUCUCAGCCAAUAAUGCACCUUUUGUUUCAUAAAACUGCACUGUGAAUGGUUUUAAUAGGUGCCUGCAUUGAACGGUGAGUGAAAAAACACCGGCUGGGUAUUUUCUUCAGCCAAGUUGCUGUCUAGUUUGAGGUGAGAAAUAGCACAGAGUGCGUUUUGUGGUCUCAGACCAAACUGAAAUUAAAGACCUAAGAGAAUGUUCCUGGUGAAGCAGUUCUGAAAUGUGAGAGAGCAUGUAGACCAAAAACCAUGAGAAGAGUGCCAUGAAGAACAAUAGUUUUGCUGAUUCCGUAAGGCUAACGAAGAUCCCCUAUUUACGAUAGGAUGUAAAGAACCCAUAGCUCUCAUUUAAAUCAACAAAGGAUGCUAUUCCUCAUGGCCACCCAGGCGGUAUUUAGACUCACAUGGGAUUGAGCUCAUAGAUGGGAUUCAAGGAUUGUUCCCAUAUCUUCAUUUUAACUAAACUCAAACUAAAUGGGAAAUCUCUAAGAAAAAUGUGAAGUUUAACCUUACACUGAAUCUGUGGGAAUCUGUGGGCCUUAUCUUCUGUUACAUCCCAUCAACCAAAUAGUCAUAUUUCAAAUGCUACUUCUUAUUAAUGAUGGUCAUUGGUGUCUUUUUCUUCUUCUAAUGCUACUUCUCAAUGCACACCUGCACAGCUACAGAUAUAAAGGUAAAGGUAAAGGGACCCCUGACCAUUAGCUCCGGUCGUGACCGACUCUGGGGUUGCGGCGCUCAUCUCGCUCUAUAGGCUGAGGGAGCCAGCGUUUGUCCGCAGACAGCUUCCGGGUCAUGUGGCCAGCAUGACUAAGCCGCUUCUGGUGAACCAGAGCAGCACACGGAAACGCCGUUUACCUUCCCGCUGGAGCGGUACCUAUUUAUCUACUUGUACUUUGACAUGCUUUCAAACUGCUAGGUUGGCAGGAGCAGGGACCGAGCAACUGGAGCUCACCCCGUAGCAGGGAUUCAAACCGCCGACCUUCUGAUUGGCAAGCCCUAGGCUCUGUGGUUUAACCCACAGCUUUCAAUAAAUAAUGCUUCUGUGUGUGCUGCUUCCUUAAAUGGGUACAAUAUGUGGCCUGGACUAAUUGCCCCAGUAGGGAUGGUAUGGGAAAGGGAUAAUUAGGCACAAAUGUGGGGGGGGGGGGGGAGGAGCAGCAAGAGAUGUGGUGACUGGCAGUGUAACACAGUGGGAGGUGGAGGAUCAACAAUGGUGGUGGAUAUGGGAAAGAGUGAUUGCCAAGGAGGUAACAAACAUCUCUUUUGUUGGCCUCUUCUGUAAACUGCUUUAAGGUUUUCUACAGUCAAGCUGUAUAUAAAUUUUAUGAAGCAAAUCUUUCUCUCUUUCUCUCAACUCCACCCACUCUAACUCUCUCACAACCAUUUGACUGCCAUCAUAGGAAAUUGCAUUUUAUGAGGAAUUCAAAUUCUGUACCUUGCCUGGGGUUGGUGGUACCCUCUAGGAGGUCAUAGUUGAGUGAGUCCAGGGUGUGGCGAAUGUAUUUUUUGCAUGAGGAGGUGGUGCCUGCUGCCUUGAUGGAGCUUGUAUUGUGACCACUCCACAUGGGGGAAGAAGGUACUACACAUCGUCAAUAGUGGUGGGGUGCCAUUUUGCAAUGUCUUGUGAAGUUUGAUAUGUGAGGAAGAGUGCAACAUCAGACACUCUUUUUUUAAAUAAGAUAUUUAUUGAAAUUUUCAAAGUGUUACAAAAUAAAAUAAAAGCAGGAGAAAAUACAAAAUAAAAAUAGUUAACAAAGUAGAAAAAGAAAAAAACAAACCACUUCCAACUAUACGAAUACAAAUUCAAAAAUAAGAAAAAGAGACAGGAAAAAAAUACAAAAAUACACCACAAACAAUUAAGAACAUUUUAAAACAAAUUCAUUAUUCUCGAAUCCUCAACUGUCAUUACCUUCUUUCUUUGACCUCCUCCUCCUCCCUUUCUUUGUAUCCUAGUUAUUAAUUAUCCCAGCAAAUCUUUUCCAUAUUUCAUAAUACUCUGUCAUUACAUUACCCUAAACUGUUUUAAUCUUAUCUUUCUAUAAGAAAAUAAACCUUAAAGCUUAAAACUUAAAUCUUAUCCUUACCAACUUCUCAUAACCAUAAUAUUCUUUCAUAAUUCUUUAAACAUCUUUACUAAAGCCGAGUAAUUUCAUUCCAACAUUUUUCUGACGUUCAUCAAUUUUAUAAAACAGUUCUAAUGGUAGAAAAAAGAAAUACAAACAGAUCGAAUCUUCAUCUAACGUCCCUUCCUCCUGGUUCCGGGUUUUGUCAGUCCUUAUUAUCCCAUCGAUCUAGCCCAUUAACCUGGCAACCUUAUAUCCGAGGCCCUCAAGUCUCUUCCAUGUCCCUUCCGCAGCUCUUCUUCAUAUUUGUAACUGUAUUUUCCCUUGUCUCCUGCUCGUGGUAACUCCAGCUUGGCAAUAUUUUUAACCCUUCUCGACAGAUCAGCCCCUUUUCCAUAUUCAGCACUGAAUUCCAUAUGGUAUUUAAAAGCAUGUUUCAAAGACCCUCCAAAAUUAAGAGCCCCCACAAUCCCAAACAUCUCACGGCCCAUUGCCAGAUUUGAAAAGUCCAAACAUCCCAGCAUAGGGGGGUCAAUCCAGCCCCCCAUUUCCAAGCCAAACCAAACUUUUUCUUUCCAAAUCUGGCUUUUUCCAAGUUCAUUUGUCAAAUCCGAAAACUCAUAUUCCUGUUGGGCCUGUUCUGUCAGGACACACUCCUGAUUUAAUUCCUGGGUGGGCUCCACAUAUUUUCCCACUGUCUGUUCAAAAUUUCCCACUGCCUGUUCAAAAUUUCUAGUCGAAGUCGCCAUCAAAUUCACCUUCUCAUAUAACUGUUCCAGUAGGGCAUUUGUUUUAUAGAAAGCACACAACAAAGCUUCUGAAUACAUUGUCCUGCAAGGUCAAAUGCCUAUUCCCACGAUUGUAAUCUGUAACAGCUGCCGGCUCCCUGGAGUUGGUUACAGUUUCACAGUCUCCCUCUAGGGGGAAAACUUCUAUUUGUUCUUGCAACAAAGUUUCCCUUUUUGAGAUACUUUGUCAAUAUUUGUUCCUUUAAAAUGCGAAGGGAAACAGUGGAAUCACUAUGUUUCUCUUCUUUUAGCUAUCUGUCAAAAACGUUUGUCUCUGGUCAAUGAACUUCAAACGUCAGUCUCUGGUCAAUGAACUUCAAACGUCACCCCGCUCCAGGAUCAGGACGGAAGAAAGUUGCUUUACUUUAAACUCACUUUAAACAGUCCGAAAAAGAUCCCCCUUCUUCUCCUGCUGUCGAAGGGGGGUUCCACAAUUUUAAAUGAUGAAAUCCAAUCCUUUAAAGGCGAUUUUCUGAGCUCUAGUUUACGUUGUCUUUGCUUUAUUCUGUCUACAAAAGAACGGAAGGCUGACUUCCUGUUUAGACCUUCCCGUUCCGUACCAAAUUGAAAUAGAUUUUAAAGAUCCAAUUCCUUUCUGCUCGCAAGUCCUUAUUUAAUGUCCAGUUGUUCAAAGUCUAAGUACUCACGGGUGCUUAUUUUAGAGUCCAAAUUGUCCCAGGAAAAAGGCAGCGCUCUCCGGCAACGGCUAUGCGGCUUCGCUCCACGGAAAUAGCAGUUGACUCACAGCACCGCGCCACUUCCCCCUCUUCACUUCGGACCCCGUUAGUGGGUUCCUUAGCGAGUUGGGGGGGCGCUAAAGGUGCCCGCCGAGUCCCAUGGUCACAGGCUUCAUCCGCCUGUGAUUUUUAAAAGGGUCCCCGCUUCGCCGUAGCGGAGAAGACCAGUUUCCCGUGGAGCUAGUCCCUCCGGUUCAGAGGGAGUCCGCCAUUGCCGAUGGCGCCACCCCGGAAGUCCAACAUCAGACACUCUUAUUCACAUAACAAACCUCAUGUGUUUCUCAAGAUAAUAAUGUAGACAAAAGUUACUUUAUGCAUCCUAACAUCACAGAUACGCCUUGAUUCAAACUGUUGGAAGUAAAGCAGCAACACUUGCAAUAAGUUACCUGAACCAGUUUGGGGGCAGGGGGCGGGGAACAGACAGAAAGGCAACCUGUUCUUCCCUAGCAAAUUCUUUCUUGUAGAUUGUUUGUAUCUCAGGAUUUACUUCCUUCCUCUUUCUCCUCCUCCAGUCAGUCUUUCUCUGUACAUCCUGGUGUUAAAGCCAUUUUGUUUAGCCUCAUGACACUUUAAUGACCACAAGUGAGCUACUACUCAGAAUGGCUUUGUUUUGCCAGGAAUAAUAAACCUUAAGUUUCUUUAUUCUUUCAACCAACAGUCUUAUGAGACUAUUUGUUUCUGCACUCUGCUGCAAUGUGUGUGUAUGUGUGUGUGUGUGUGUGUGUGUGUGUGUGUGUAAUAACAAACUCCAUUGGGCACAUGUCCUUCCAUACAUAUGAAAUGGAAUAUAUGUCUCAAGAGUCAUAGACAGUCAGGAUUGUCCAGUUCACAAAGGCACAGCAUAACAUUAAUGAAUAUCUUGGUUUGAUGUGUCCUUCCAUGCUGACUGCCACAGAAAUGAGCAUGUGUCAUGAUUGCCUGGAAUACUCAUAAUGAAGCUGGUAUAUGCAUUUAUGCAAAAAGCCAAAGUGGCAUAUAAAACAGAUGCAUGCAAAUAUCCUGGAUCAAAUAUAAUGUGUGAAAAAUGGCAAAUGGGGACCUGUCUUUCAAACUGACACCACAUAAAACCCCUCUCCUUUACUGCAUUAUGCGCCUUGUGCACAUAAUAUCUUGAAGGCCGUUGCUUUUGACAGAUUCAGCAUACUAAUCCAUCAGAGAGGAACGGCCAAGGUGAUUUGGUGAGCGCCAUCUGUUUGUGUAGGUCCAGGGGAUAUGUUUGAACAUUAGGAUUCCAAAUUUGCUAGAACAGUGCACAAUGUGCAGCAAUUCUAUAAGCCACCCCAAGUUGUGAAUAUCAACCUACAGUUCUUAGACAGCCAAAUCCCAUACAUUUAGUAUUGGGAAGAAAAGGAAAUAAUAUCUCUCUCUGUAAUGUUCAUUAUUUACUAUAAUUUCAUAAUCACAUUUUUAUUUAGUUAUUCAAUUUACAUCCUGCCUUUCCUCCCAAAGGAACCCAAUGUUAAAACAGUGCUUGGGGAAAAUAUUCUGAAUUGCUCUGUAAAAUUGUACAUUCUAUAAAGUCAAAGUUUUACAAAAGCAUGGGUUGCCUCUAGUCUAAGUACGUUAACUUAGGUUCCAGGCUCCAACUUAAGUCUCAUUUACUUCAAUGGCAACAUGAUACUAACCAUGUCUACUUGGACUUAAGUCCUACUGAAUUCACAUGGACUUAUUCCCAGGUAUGUGGGAUAGGAAAUGCAGUUAAUUUAACCUGGAUCCAACUCAAUAUCUUUGGAUUUUGUAUUGUGAUGGGUGGGACCCUCUCAUAUAACAUUUGAUAAUGUUAAGGGGGAAAACACAGGAAAGUGAAACAUUUAUAUUGGGAUGAAAAAUUGAACCCAUUAGCCACAUGUAAACCUACUGAUUGGAGUAAAGAGAUUAUGUAUAAAUAAUAUAUGUAUGAUUUUGUUUUCUUUCAAUAAUCAUUUGCCAGUGAUGAAGAUAGCAAUAGACCAUCCUAGGUAAAGGGACCCCUGACCAUUAGGUCCAGUCGUGACCGACUCUGGGGUUGCAGUGCUCAUCUCACUUUAUUGGCCGAGGGAGCCGGUGUACAGCUUCCGGGUCAUGUGGCCAGCAUGACUAAGCAGCUUCUGGUGAACCAGAGCAGUGCACGGAAACACUGUUUACCUUCCCGCCAGAGCGGUACCUAUUUAUUUACUUGCACUUUGACAUGCUUUUGAACUGCUAGGUUGGCAGGAGCAGGGACCUAGCAACGGGAGCUCACCCCGUCACGGGGAUUCAAACCGCUGACCUUCUGAUCGGCAAGUCCUAGGCUCUGUGGUUUAACCCACAGCGCCACCCGUGUCCCAAUAGACCAUCCUACAUAGGGGAUAUUCUAAAAUUCAGCAUUGAGUGCAAUCUUAAAUAUACUAACCAAGGAUUUAUUCCUAUUAAAUUCACCGGGCUUUAUUUCUAGUGCAGCUCUCCAGUCUUUUUCUGUAAAUAGAAAUGAUACUUCUAUUACUUCCAAUAGAUUCUGGGUGUGAUGGGGGCAUCAUUCCAAAUGCAUCAGUGCAAUUAAGUGAUCAAACAGCCCAAGACUGCUGCUGUUCUAAAAUAUAUUUCGCUUUUGUUGCACAGGAAAUCUCAGCUCUUGCUGUCACUGCAUUCUUUGGAUUUCCACAGUCCUUUAGCUUUGAAUGGCAGAAAGCCAAGGACCUACUCUGUUACAUUAUUCUAAAGCCCUCUUUGUAUUUGUCAUGUCAUAUAACAUGAGAAAUAUCAGGCACAUAAUAUUUUAAUAAUGAAGGAAUUAAUUCCACUGUUUGCAGCAUAUAAAAAUGAACCUUUGAAUGACAUUGUUGGCCAGCAGCUUAGGCAAAUGCUGCAUAUGUUAUAGUAAAACCUUAGCUCAGAUAAGGCACAUUAGCACAUUAAUAACACUUAGCUCCUCAUAGCUGUUAUUCUCACAAGAAUUUACAGGGACAAAUAGAUUUGACCUACAGUCAGGAGGAGGAUGAAGGUGAAGUCCACUGGUGCUCGACUUACAAUAUAUUUAUAUUUUCAGGUGUUAAGAGUUUGAUGGAUAUGACUAGUGUUUGAAACAUUGCCGAUUAGUAAAUGAAAACAGCAAGGUAGCACCAUAUGCAGAUAGAACCAUUUAAUUCAGAUACAUGCAUAUAACUCUGGAUGUGAUGACUUUGUUUUCCAGAAUCAAAGUAUCAGCGUUAGCAAUUUAUAUUACCAGCCCUAGGUUGCAGUUACUGCCUAUAACUGAUUAAUCCACUUCAAGAAAGUGUAGACGUAGAAUUGUUGAGGGUUCAGUUUAGAUUUCAUAAAACAGUAUUUUGCAGUGUUAGAUAAUCUUGAAGUUCACUUUUUAUUUGUAUUAAUAAAAAUAAAUGCCUCUAAUAAUACAUAUAUAGCAUCUAUAUAUAGCUCCAAAUGAAGGACAUUUGAUCAAAAGCCUUCAUAGAAACUAAAUUGGUGGGUCACUUACAUGGAGAGAGGAGGCUUACUGUAAUGGUGCCACCAAAUUGCUUGUAGCAUCAAGCGGAGAAUGGCCAUGGAAAAACUCCAAAGGCUACGCUUCCAAGCCCUAGAAGGGACCAGGGACAUUUGUGAGCUGUAUCAGGAGAUAAUUAAGGAAUUCAGACCACUCCUGAUUUCCACCUCCCAACGUAAAACUCCUGCUAGUGCUUGGAGCUGGUUUAACAGGGACUGUAGGUCCCAGAAAAAAGAACUGACUAAAUUGACCCGACAAGUCCAGUUUGUUCGAUCAGACGAGGCCAUUACUCUCUUACAAUGGAGAUAACGAGAGUACAAAACUCUGAUAAGGGAGGGGGAAAGGGCAUACUGUGAAAAUAGCUGGAAAUGUCUCGGCCUUGCUCUCAUCAAGGGGAACAAAGCUAAGUUUUAGAGCCUAGUUCAAGAAGGCCUAUCAGAUAAACCUUUCUGCCUUGUACCCUUCAUAACACCUGAAACAUGGGUAACCCACUUUAGUGGCAUCUAUGGCAGUGAAAUGAACUUAAUCCUUUUUAGGUCAGAAAACUCUUCAAACCACCCUGGCUGGCCACCUGUUUCCACUACAGAGAUUGGAGAACUGAUUACGUCGCUGCAUCCUGGGAAAGCACUGGGUGAAAAUAUGAUCCCUCCUGAGAUAUUCUCCUCAGACGUAAAUUGAUGGGCCCCAAUUAUGGUCGAACUAUUUACUCACAUAAACAUGACUGGAGACAUCCCCUUGUCAUGCCAACCCCGCCCCCCAAAAGGAGACAGAUCAGAUCCCCAUAACUAUAGACCCAUUAGUCUCCUAGAUGUGGCUUCCAAAUUAUACUCACGGUAUCUACUAAAUAAAAUUCUGGAAUGGGACAAGCCAUCAUCCACGAAGAACAAGCAGGAUUUAAAAAGGGCAGGCGCACCAUAGGCCAAGUUUUUGUUUUGUACCACCUAAUCUGUAAAUUCACCAAAAGCCCACAUAAGACUCUCUAAGUUGCCUUCAUUGACUUCUCCUCAACCUUUGAUUUAAUAGACAAGGAACAGCUGUGGAACAAACUGGCCCAUUCAAAUAUCAAUAAAAGACUUCUCUGACUCUUCCAACAACUACAUUGAGGGAACCUCAUGCAAGUGGGACUGGGCCUUCAGGGCACCCUCUCACAAGCAAUUCCAAUUAACAGAGAUGUCAAGCAAGGCUGUAUACUGGUAUUCUUCCCAUUUAAUUACUAUAUAAAUAAUCUCAUUCCUGAUAUGGCAUCCCCAUCCUUCUUUGUCCCCACCCUUGGGAAUUGUAAAAUGCCAAUUUUGCUCUACACCAAUGACUUAGCUUUGUUAUCCCAGAAUAAAAGUGGACUUAGAAGGAUGAUGGUUAAAUUUGGACAGCUGUGUAAAAAAGAGCAUCCAGAAAUUAACUACAAUAAAACCAAGGUCACUGUAUUUGGCAAGAAGACUACUAAGUCCAGGUAGACUCUAGACGGUCACACCCUAUAGACGGUCACACCCAGAUUUAAAUAUCUAGGAUUACUUAUCAAUGGGAAGUCAUCAUGGAAAUCCUGUCUGGAAGCAAUUAAGCUAAUAUCUGGCCAUUCUACUGGGCAGCUAUAUAGGUUCUUCCAUUCAAAGGGUAGACAGUUAACCAACCCAGCUAUCAAGAUCUUUGUCUCUAAAAUCAUCGCUCAAAUGCUUUAUGGGGCUGAGAUAUGGGAAAUUGGUGUCAAAUCUGAAAUGCAAGUCCUACAAAAUAAAUUUAUGAGGCAGAUUUGUGGGCUUCCUUGUGGGACACCAGCAGCCCACCUCACAGCCUAGUUGGGCCUUCCCUCGCUAGCAGCCAGAAUUGAUCUAGUCUACCUGAGAUACUGGCACAGGCUAAAUGCCUUGGAAGAUCAUACUCUUACUAAGCUCUGCUGGUUAGAGCAACUAAGGACAUGGAGCUGGGCACAAAAGUGCCAAGAUAAGUUUAGGGCUUAUAAUCUCCAAAUGGAGAACUACUUAGCCCUUAGCCCAUGUGACCUCAGAAAUUGGAUUUUUGAUCAGGAUGCCAACCAAGACAGAGUAUCCAUCAUUGCUGCCUGCUACUCUACUUGAUACCCCCAAAUUAAGACCAGUCACUCAAGGCCCCAUUACCUUGAGACUCUGACUUUUUCAUAACUAUGUAGGGACUCUGUAGAGCUAAGAUUUCAACAGAUGCCCUCAGCAUAUUUAGAGGGGAAUUCUUAAUUGGCUUCCAGGUCGAUCCGCACAGGAAGUGACAGUUGAAUUCCUAGCAGAUAAAUAUCUAUAUAUGACACACCAGGUAGCCAAAUUUGCACUGGCAGCCAAGAAGCUCCAUUCCAGCUAUGUGAAUGCACUCCAAUUUUAAGUCUUAAUGUUGUAAAUUACUUCUAUAUUGUAAACUGCUACAGGUUACGUGUAUGAUUUUUGAUGGAAGUUUCCUUUUAUUCUCUGUCGUCCAUUGUAAAGGCCUUUGGCUACAUACAAUAAAUAUUGAUUGAUUGACUUGAAUCUAUAUAUAGCUUAAGGUAAGCAAUAGUACUACUUAAACAUUUCUUGUUCCAAAGUCUAGAUCUUAAGAAUUCCAUUGUUCAAAGUAGGAGAGCAUUCCAAGUUUCUUGGCCUUGCUAUCUCUUGUAAGAUGCUGCAAGCAUAGGCUUAGGCAAGUGAGCUUCAUAUCGUAGGAAAUUGGUAGUUCAAACUUUAGAGCAUAUUUAUAAAGUUUCUCAGAAUCUUAUCAUGAGAAAAUAAUAACUCACUGUCUCAUAAAUUAGGCUCACAAUCCACUCUAAGCUAUUUUAUCAUUUAUAAACAUUCUCAGAACUUUAACAUCAAUACAUCAAGUUUUACAACUAUCCUUAUCAUGACAUCCAUGCAUUCAGCUUAUCAUGAUUACACAUUCCUUAACCUAAAAUUUAUUGACCAUUAAUUGAUAAACAAAACCUUUAACUACAGUUAUGUCCUUGAAUGAAAGAUUGAACUUUCCCCAAACUUCAGAUAAACCUUUAACCUCAAACAUUAGUUUUAUGAUUUCAUGUUCUUUCUAUUUAAUAAAAAUGAAACAUUCUGCCUUGUGAAUGAUGCUAAUAUUAGUUACUAAAAUUCAUUAUCCUCUUGCUUUGAGUCUGUGUCCUUUCUUAACAUAAUGAUUGCUUUUAUUUAUGUAGCUCUGCAAAUUCUUAUAAAUUUGUCACAAAUCAUUUCCAUUGGUUAUGACUUGUUUCCAUUAAAACAGAAUGCAUUGUGUUCCUAUGGAGAUGAAUUACUAUUAUUAUCAGUAGCCAUUGUUGGCAAUUCCAGGAGAACUAAAGCUGGCUAUACUGUGAUAUCUGCUAUGACAGUCUGGGAUAAGGUGAUGCUCUGUUUUUGAAGGGUUAUACUGAUAUGAGUAUUAUGCAUCAGAGCACACAAUGCAUUUCGAUUAAUAGUAGAAUCAACAAACUGUAGUCUGGGUUAUUAUGCAAAGGAGACACUCUAUUACCGUGUUAUAGUAGUAAAGAAUAAGUGAACAAGUUCUGUAUUCUCAUAGGCUGUCUUAGUCUGCCCUUCUGGAACAGAGAAACAUCAAAUGACUGAGAAAAUUGUUCCACCUCACAGGCGACUGGUCUAGAGCAAUAGUGCCACUCCCAUGAUCUCUGUUUUUACCAGUGUUUUAAGGUUCCAAGCACUCACAGCAGGAUGAAAGUCUCAUUGAACUCAGUGAGACUUUUGGAUUUGCUGCAUGAGUAAAAUAGAAAAAGAUUAAAGAAGUACUUAGGUUUUGAGACAGCUGGAAAUAAAGAUAACUCAUUCAUGUUGAUAGAUUAAUAUUUUGAUCUCAUCCCACCACUUUAGCAAGGAUCCUGAUGCUUCCUAGCCCUAGAGAUGGGGGAGAAAAUUGUUUGAGUUUCCAUUUAAAGGCCGGCUUACCCAAUUCUCUGAAUUUUGCAGUGCUGCUCUCCAGCCAAGCAAUGUGUACAGAAAGAUAUAUAUCCUGGGAUAAAGUGCACAUAGAAAUGCAAAUAUUAUCGAAAAUAAAUUGUUUUGUUAAGCAAAAUUGCUUUGCAAAAAAAAAAAAAGGUGCUUGGCAAAAUUGCAUAUAACAAUGUAUACAUUAGGUAGAAUCCCUACUAAAAUGCUAAUUAAUUUUCCUGAGAACUUUCUUGUUUAAUUGCAAACCGAUAUGGAGAACCGAACUUAUGAUUGGAAAAAUGAGAAACCAAGAGAAUCCAAAAGUGUCAGAUUUGCCCUUCCCUCUUUUCCCUCUCUCCCAGAAAGCGAUACCAUCUUCACAAGAUGUAAAUACAACAUUCACAGAUGGCCAUCAUCUCUGUCCUUCGAUAGUGUAUAAAUGAGCUAAUGCAGCACUUGCUUUACUCUGUCUUAGUGCAUAGGAUCUGUUUUUGGACUGUCACUAUUCUGACAGACAAGGAAGAAGGACAAAAAAAGGAAAUCAAUAAAUAAUGGCUGCAUCAUAUUGAUUCAAGAGUUGCUUAACAUCAUCAGGAAGGAGUGGUGAGAGUUGGUCCCUUUUUCAAUACCCAGCUGACAAGAGAAUUCUCUGGCAUGGUUGCUUUAUCAAGUGUCACCAUCUGUAUUUCAAACUUUUUUUUGGUGGAGCUCUAUAUUGCUUUUAGGCAAAGCACUAAAUUCUAGAAAUUACCCCUUGGCAGUCUUUCUGGAGAUAGCAUCCUUGCAACUUAUACCACCUCCUUUGAAAUGAUUCUGGAUCUAUAGUGUGCAUUAGUCUACUGGUGCUUCCAGACUGUUGCUAUUUUCAUGGAGGAGUAAAUCACAUGCUGGCAAAUUUAGGUCCCAGAAUUAUAGGUGAUUGGGAGUUCUUGUGCAACAAACCCACUUCCCCAUCCCCCCAAAAGAUCACAACUUUUUGUGAUAAGAAUGGAGAAAUACGCUGGAAAGUAUGGAAUGACACUUGCUAUGAUGCAACAUCAAUUAACCCACAAACAACUCAGAAUGAAUGCUCUUUAAACAGCUAACAUCAUCUAAUCUCCCCAGAAACAAAUUGGAAUGAAUACUCAAUAAAUGAGUUUUCUGGAAGCACCUUGUGAAUCACAAUCCUUAUCUACUCCCCACCUCCCUCAGGACCCUUCUGAACGCAACUCAGAUGCGGUACUGCACCAGUGCUCAUUCUAUUCUAUGGAAACAAGGCUUCAUCCUGCUGAUAAUCUUCUGUCUCUUUCUGUUGGGGUUGCAUACUGUUUUUAAUGUAUUCCAUUUAUGCCUUGGGCAGAGGGGGACUCUUCCGGCUUCGCAACCCUAUAGAGAUGGGGGAUGGUAAUGGAUGGGUCUGAAGCUCCAACAGAAAAGGAAAUGUGUUCCUCUUCAAAGUCUACUCUAUUAAAACAACUAUGUACACUUACUUGGGACUAAGUACACAGAAUGCAUUAACUACUUCUGAGUUCAUGUAGGAUAUGCAGUUCUGUUGAAUGACGGCACCAUAUAAGUGGAAUGGAUAUAGUUCUCAGAAAGGCUACAAAAAGGUAGUCAAAUUUCAAUGCUCCUGUUGAAUAAUUACUUAUGAUCUGAAGUACAGAAGAAUAGAAGAUUUAUUUCAUAGUCCACCUUUCCUUCAAGAAGUUCAAGUUGGUUCUCCCCUUCGUUACUUGACCCUCACAACAGCCCUGUGAGCUAGGUUAGGCUGGGAGACAGUAACUGGGCCAAGAUCAUCCUAGUGAGCUCCAUAGUUGAGUGGGGAUUUGAACCCUGGUCUUCCAUGUCCUAGGGCAGCACUCUAACCACUACACCAUGCUGGGUUUCUCUUACUCUUCUGAAACAAUGUCCCUGAUUCCCUAGCUUCUUGUUUUCCCAACCAGUUCAUGAAGUUUGGCUACUCCACCAACUCAAAGGGAAAUCCGGGGGCUACAGCUCACUAGCCUUCACAGGUGGGUUAUCCUGCCUGCAUGACUUUGGGUCUACUGAGCCUCUUGAAACUCUCAUGUCCAGAAAAGUGAGGAGAGGAUGAGGUGGUGGUGAGGUCAGUGUGGUGCAAACACACCUGUAGAGCCAAUCCAGUGUUCCCAUUUGUGCAUCUGCAUUUUGCUGGCUUCACCUAUCCACAUUCCCAUGUGUUGCAGCAAUGCAGGCUCUCUGCUUCUGCAAAUACUCUUCCCACUUCCCGCUCAAAGGGUAAGCCUUUCAGAACUAGCCCUGAAUUCACUCUCAUUAGUCAUAGCACAAAGUACCUGAUUCAUAGCUGGUUGUAUCACUUCCUGUGAGGUGGAGAGUUACCCCAUCUGAGAAUGCUCACUUAAAUGAAAGAAACACAGUCAAAUAUAAAUGAAUCCUAAACUGUGGAUUGGCUUGAAAUUUCAAGUAGCCAUAUUGACUUACCUGUUUAGUAAUCAGACAUGAUAGUGAUGCUGAGUAGACAGUGUUAGAUACCCCCCCUCCAGCCUCACUUCAGAUUAGCAUGCUAUAGGAGAUGUUCAGGUGUUUUUAAAACAUGAUUUACUCUUCCCCGUUAGAGUACUGCUUGGAAAAUCUUGGUUUUUCCCCCAGUACAUGAAAUCAUAUGCAUGUCGGUAUAUCUAAGAACUACAUAUGCAAUAUGGCUAUCUCUGCAAAAGCAGAACGAGCAUUGUGUCACAUAUUAGGUGAUACUUUUGCUUGUGAUGGGUUGCUUAAUUUAAAACAAUGAGAUGCACUACGUACGCAUUUCAAAUUCAGAUGCCACCCAUAGCCAAUUGUAUCAUUUUUUCACCGUAGGUAAAAUGUACUACCCAAACUUCUUGAUAAUAAGCUUAACCUCUUUGUAAUUGAAAAGUGAUUCAAAAUGUCUCCCUCCCAUGCUUUCUAUUAGCUUCUGUUUAACAUAUAACAUAUCAAAUACCCUGUUUUUUCCAUCACUCUCUAGGUCUCUGCUCCUUUUGGUUUCAGGAGAACAGCUCAUACAUAAACAUAUUCACAUCCUAGAUUGGUAGUGACAGUUUAUUUCUACUAUCCUGAUGGAUUGUACAGGAUAUCUACAGCUUUCUUCACUAACUAGACAACCAAGCGUGGACUGCAAAAUUAAUCUUGAAAUGGCAAGAUACCUUAGCAGGCAGAAUCACUUCCACACAUGUUCACUUGCUUCAACGAGAUAGCUUUUCUUUACAGAUUCUUCUGUAUCAAGCAAUUUUAACAGAAUAGACUGAAUACACUGCAGCUUGCUUUGGGAUUUUUCAGACACCUGGCAGGCAAGCAGGCAGGGUUGAUCUGUAGAUCUACUUCCAUUUGGGGGUCUACUUUCAUUUGGGGAUUUGGGGAUAAAGGUAUGUAGGUAGAAGUUUGGCAUCAAUCUUGAAGGGUCGUGUGUCAAGUAAAUAUGUUUUAUUAAAGAGGUUGUGCUGGGCAAAAUCCCCCAAAACAAGGUUUUAAAAAGAUAGAAUUGUUUUACAUAUAAAAUGGCUUUUGCUUGUUUUUACAUUUUGGGGGGUUUUAUUGACUGUUUGUGUGGUGGUCUUUUCUUCUUCAGCUGUACAUGUUAUUGUUGUAACUAUUGUGGAGGGUGGGGUGAUUUUAAAAAAACCAAUCCUCUUGUCACACUGGGAAUAUUUCCUUACUCACCCAGUUUAGAAUAUUCCACCAUUCUUCAGCAGAGUUUCUUUUCUUUCAGCAAAGUAAGUGGCUCACGUAUAUGUCAAACAAAGCUUUAAAAAUAAAGAAAACUGUAAUGUAACACAAUAACAUACAGUAAUGUCUGAGAGAAACUAAAACAACAUGAGGCAAGAAUGACGGUUGGUCUCUCUAACUUAACUUAACUUAACUGAACACCUGAAGGGAGCGACUGAUUCCGGAGCAUAACACAAAAGCCCCGCCCACCAGAUGCCAGACAUCCAACUGAUCAAAUUAGGCCCCAGUGUUUUUCUUAUAGUGACUCACAUGGGCAGGUAAGAAACCUAAGAAAUAAAUACAUGUACAGUGAUAUCUCGGGUUAAGAACUUAAUUUGUUCUGGAGGUCUGUUCUUAACCUGAAACUGUUCUUAACCUCAGGUACCACUUUAGCUAAUGGGGCCUCCCGCUGCCGCCGUGCUGCCAAGCAAUUUCUGUUCUCAUCCUGAAGUAAAGUUCUUAACCCGAGGUACUAUUUCUGGGUUAGUGGAGUCUGUAACCUGAAGCGCCUGUUACCCGAGGUACCACUGUAUAAAAUAAGUUGUGGUUUUAACAAGGCCUCUGGUUAGAUCCCAGUCCAUUGUUUUCAAAGGGAUGGCUGGUUCAAAUGUACAUAGAAUCAUGUUCAUCAUUAGAUUUUACCACAUUUGAUUAAUUAAGGCUGCAGUCCUAACACCAAUUACCUGGAAGAAAGCAGCAUUGAAUUUUGAGUAGACAUGGUUAAGGACUGUUAAUUGCUAUUAGCUAAACAGGUAAACCCUCUUCGUUGAACUGAUAUGAAAGUCUCAUCUUUGGGAUGUUAUAUCUGUAAUUAUACAUUCACACAUUGCAGUUACCACUGGAUACUAAAGUGAUGGACAUGUAUGUAUGAACUAAACCCUUGACGACUGGAAGCCAGUAUGUGCAACUGACUGUUUUGGACAACAGUAUCAUAGGAUACGAAUGUUCUGUUUGUCCCGUUGUGUGUGUGAUGGUUCAUUCUCAUAUGCAUGCCACCGCUGAAUGCUGCAGUGGUUAAGUGAUGAAUGUGCAUAUCUACACCAGGUCUUAAUUGGUACUGAGUGUGCUAGUGUGUGGCCCUCAGUGCCCAAUGAUAUCAUCAGCCUGUGUGUCAGCUGCUAGUCAUUCUGAAUGUGCAUAGACUGCAUUGUGCAACACUUGCUGUCUUCCAGCUUCUUCUGCCAUCAUGCAGUAUCCUAUUGCUCUCCCUUCUUGGUCCCUUCCUCCUGUGAAGUGGCCACGUAAUUUGCUCAGGACCACCAAACACAUUGCCACGCUUUCAAAUAACUGCAAUUUCAGAUGAAGAGACAGGUGGGCAUGCAGAUCUUGUUCUGUUUUUGAAAUGUAUAGUAUUACAAUCCAGGAGAGUUUAGACACACAUAUCAUAUAAUCAUAUUUCUUUAAUAUCCAUUGAAAACUUAGGCAUAAGUAUGCCACAGUUAAUUAAAUGACCUAACUGAUGAUUAAAUACUCUUCUGGUUUGACAUGAGUAACUGUACUGUGCGAUGUGGUUCUAUAUUAGCAGAAACUACCAGAUGACAGUUCUGCUGGAAAAGAAUGAAUGUUGAAGUUUGCCUGCAGGAAAGGCAGCUGCAUGUCAACUGCUCUCUGAAUCAGAAUAAAAAGUUCUCAGAUGAUUUCAUUCCAUCUGACUUUUUCAUUCUCCUACAGUAAUGGAGACUUCAUUGAUGGCAAGUCCAGUACCAUUUACCACAAGUAGAUGUCAAGCUAGGUGUUGGAAUACAUUAGCAGCAUAAAUGCUUAUGACUUCUGAAGCCUUAUAUAGCCUAGACACAGCAUAUCUGAGGGUAGGCCUCUCCUAGUAUGAACCCUCUCAUCGUCUAAGAUCUCAUGGAUAAGCCAUGUUCCACGUUUCCUUCAAAAAUACGUUUGGUUGAUGCUCAGAGUAAGACCUAGAUGCUUCUAUUGUUAUAGAAUGUUCCAUCUAAGCCUUUUGCUGCCUGCUUUAGAAAAGGACAUAAACCAGAAUUAUUUCUCUUAAUUAUAUUUUCAGUCAGAAAGUGGCACUAUAUUUUUAGUACAUGAAAUGACUCACAUUUUAUUAUUCUGUUCUUCACAAUCAUGAGAUGUAUGCUACUCAGAGACCCAUUUUACAUGUGGUAACUAUGAUCAGGAUGGAAAAACUUUCCCAAGGCUACCAAUGAAGGCCAAUUAUCUUGAUCUGACCACCAUAACUCAAGAUAGGACCUGCAUGCCAUUUAUUUUAAAAACUUGCACCCCUCCUAAUUUUUGAGGAACUCAAGGUGGCAGGGGGUUGGACUCGAUGGCCCUUGUGGUCUCUUCCAACUCUAUGAUUCUAUGUUUCUAUGAUUCUAUGAUUCUCAUUUUUCCUGAAAGUCCCUGUAACGUGUAAUACUGAUCUUCAAGUGGGCCCAUAUGCAAUGCCCAUCCAGAAAAGCGAAGAGUAUAAUCAGGCCUAGGCUAUGCAUACACAUUACGUUUAUAAUAUGGAAGUCAGGCCAGCAGCUGGGUAGACAGGAGCAAUUCUGCAUUCUUACCACAUGUUGACUAUAGCCACAAUGUUGCCAAAUGCAUGAGCAGGAAAUUGAAGGUUGUAAAUUGAGCUAAACUCAAAAGAAAAAAACAAGGAAGGAAUGGGAGUAAGUAUAUUGAAUUCUACUGGAGGAAUAAAUACUAGAAGCUGCUCUAAGUGCAAAACUUCAACUCUAAUUAUGUAUUCCUUGAUGAUAAACAGUAAUUGUACAUAGGUGGAGGGUAAGAUACUUCUUUUCAAAAGUAACAUGAAAUUGGGAACUGGAUGAUUAACAAAAUGUUAAUUGCCAAAUGCGCUAUGUAAUUGAAAAUGUGAUAACUGCCAUAUAAUUCCAGACAUUAAUGCAUUAGUGUGGUGUCCCAAUUAUGAAAAGCCCAAUGCCUGCAGCUACACUAGGUUGGCAGAACACACAGUACAGAAUUUGUCACCAGGCACUUGUAAGUAUCCCCCUUCACUUUAGCCUUUGUUGGUAUCAAAUAGUUAUUUUUGUCACUGUUCAUCGGCUCACAGCAUCAAAGCUAGGAAUGUGCAUGCCUCCCAUCUGCCCUGUGGCCCAUGGAUUCAGCAGAUCUUCCCUGUGCUACUCCAAAUCCACCCCAGAAACAAUUUGGGGGUUGGUUUAAGUGUUUUUAAAGGGAGUUUUAAACACUAACAUACAGUAUUUGACUAGGACCUGGGAGAUAAGGGUUCAAAUCUCCACUCAGCCAUGAAGCUCACUGGGUGACCUUUGGCCAGUUUCUGUCUGUCAGCCUAACCUACCUCACAGAUUAUUGUGAGGAUUAAAUAGAUUAUAAACAGAUAGAUUUAUAGAAUUGCAGAGUUGGAAGGGAAUUGCAUGCCACCUUGAGCUCAUUAGAGAAAAAGGUGGGAUAUCAACGCAAUAAAAUAAAGUUAAAAUAGGGUUUAAAAAAAGGCCGGAGGGGACACACCAGCACCAUGCAGGAUUGAAUCCCCCUAGUUAACAGCUCUCUGAUGCUGCUUGGUGCUGCUGGUUUGCAAGUGCCUUCCUUUCACAAAAGGGAAGCACACUGCCCAAUGAAUCUACAAUCAAAUAUCACUUGAACUCAUGCUUCUCAGAUGGCAGAUGGCGCAAAUUCUACGGUGGACUAAAAUUAUUUAUUGAAAGCAGGCUAUGGAGGUUUAAAAUAGAUUUUGUUUUCUGGCUCAAACCUCCCCAGAGCAUUUGGACUGGCUGCUCUGUGGAAAGUGAAGCGGUAAGGCUCAAGGCAUCCAUUGGCUCUCUAUCUCCUAUAUGUUUUCCCUCCAGAAUGCCAUUUCAGAUUUCAGUGGUUUGGGGCAAGAUUCCAAGCAAUAUUUAAAGGUCUGCUUGCUGAUACAUUCAAGGUUGAAUUUAAGCAAAUCAGUGCAGUGAAGAGAUUUAGUUAUGAUACAGUGGUACCUCGCAAGAUGAAUGCCUCGCAAGACAAAAAACUCGCUAGACGAAAGGGUUUUUUGUUUUUUGAGCUGCUUCGCAAGACGAUUUUCCCUAUGGGCUUGCUUCGCAAGAUGGAAACGUCUUGCAAGUUUGUUUCCUUUUUCUUAACACCGUUAAUACAGUUGCGACUUGACUUCGAGGAGCAACUCAUAGAACGUGGUGUGGUAGCCUUUUUUGAGGUUUUUAAAGACUUUGGUGAUUUUUGAAGCUUUUCCAAAACUUUCCCGACACCGUGCUUCGCAAGACGAAAAAAAUCGCAAGACGACAAAACUCGUGGAACGAAUUAAUUUCGUCUUGCGAGGCACCACUGUAGUUAUAUUUUAAUGCUAGUGCUGUGCAGGGAUAGCUCCACCAUUAGAUGCUGGGAGACAGCGGCAGAGGAAACAGAUAGUUGAAGGGAGAAGAUUUGGCCAGGUUACUGAGUGAUGCAGCAGUUUUGCUUUACAAAUUAAACCCUGUUUGGACAUAAUGUGUGGUUCAGUUGUGACAUACAAUAGCUUUGGUAGUUUGCUCCUGGUCUUUUGUUAGUAACAUAAAUCAAGCUAAGAUUUCAACUUCUGCCCCCGAGUCCAAUUCAGGUCUUUCUUUUCCCUGCAUAGUUUCCAAGAACAUAAAACUCUUUGUAAAAUCAAACUCUAUAAUGAGGCUAUAGACCUUGGGCCCCCAGAUUCUGUUGGAGUACAACUCCCAUCAUCCCUGGCUAUUGACUAAGCAGUCUAGGCAUGAUGGUACUUGCAAUCCAAUAGCAUCUAAGGACACAAGGCUGAUGAACACUGGACUUGUAUGCCACAAUUCUCUGAAAUGUGACUGUGUACUCAUGUCAGAGCAUAGCUUGCUCCUGCUACCAGCUAGGGUUGGAUUCACAGCAGCUACAGAAAUGCUGAAACCACAGGAGAGAAAACAAGAAGGUUUUGAGAAUGAUAACUAACCGAAACCAGUGUUUUUUAUGCUGCACCUCCCACACAGUUUUAAAGUUGAAGCCUAAAGAGAUUAACGCUAAUGAAGUGAAAAACAACCUCUAUGUGUUGCACUUGAAAUGAAUGGUAUAUGGGUAGGGGAAUCCCUCUGCAAAGCAAUCUAAGGGCAAAAUAAAAAAUAAAAAAUCAAUCUGCUUGUUCACAAAGCUUGGAAGUUUCAUCAAGAACAAACUGACUUUUCAUGCAAUCAAUACACAACAGAGGUCUCUUUUACUGCAAUGGUGAGAGCUCUAAGGCUCUAAUAAGUGUAUCAUAAUUUCGGGCUUUUCAGCUGUGUGUAUCAAAGGAGCAUAUGUCACCACCCCUGAUAUAUCUCCAAGGAGAACAUGUCACCACCCGCAAUAUACAGUUGGUAGAACUGAGGCACAGAGAUAAAACCUUCUGUCCUAGAUUUCGCAGUCUGAUAAUAACAAAAGAACUAUGGAUAAUACAUACUACUUCAGCUGCUCUUCAUUUUAACCUGUUCUCUUUUUUAAAGGAAGUGCUUUAUUUCUAUUCUCAGCAAAUGUACACCUAACUAUAGACUGGAAUGCUGGUGGGGAAACAUCGAAGGUGUAAUUACCUGGUAAAUGGAGGGUCCUCCCACUUGGUCCAAUAUGCAAAAAUGUAAUCCAGAUCACAAGAACGUAAAAGGAAGGGUUGCCAGCAACAUAAUACAAGGGCUUCUUGCCAGGUAAGUACUGCUUUGAAACGUCAGAAACUCCCAGUCCUGGGAGGAGAAAGAAUUACAGGAAUGUGCCUAUUAUCAGGUCAUCUCUAUAGACAGCAUUGUCUGCCAUGACUCACAAGAUAGUCUUUACAUCAGCUACUACAUGACGCUUUUAAGGGUUGGAAAUAGCAGGGGUUGAACCUGGGAUCUUUUGCAGUCCAAGCAUGUGCUCUAUUAUGGAAUUAUGGGCCCAGAGGAAAAAGCAGCUGUUCUUUCCUAUGCUUAUGGUUCUGCAUUCAUUAUCACCUUGAGAUAUGAAAUGAUAUCUAUGUAAUUGUAGAAUGGCUAUCUCAGCCAUGGAAAGUAUCCCAUGACACACUUUGUUUAAAGAUGGUUGUGACGGGUGCCAUUGGUAGGUAGGGUGAUUUACUCACUCAUUCUCUCUCAUACACACUCCUUCUCUCUCUCACACUCUUUCUCUCUCUCAAUCCUACACACUGUCAAGGCUUUGGGAAGUCUGUUCCUCCCCCAGUGACAGCAAGAAGCAGAGAGAACAAGGUAGAGUCCUUGUUUAUUCAUUCAUAAUAGUGAGAAACAAAAGAAGGCAGCAAACCCUAACAAUGGCGUUGCUCCAACUGGGCUCUCCCCCCCCCCAGCAAUAGCAUUCCCCCUUAUGAUGGCCACUUGUGGCCAAUUGUCUCUGAGUCCUUUGUUCCUGCACUCUUAAUGAAUGCUGAGUUCUGGGAGAAGGGGGGCUAGAAAUAUUCUCCAGUGACGACGAGUCAGCUGACUGCUCUGCCUGUGUCUCUCCCCCUCCUCCUUCUAACACUUCACAACUUUUCUGUUCAUCUAUCUCUGAGCUGUGAUCCUCCCCAAACCUCUGCUGUAAAUCAAUGCAGCACCAGGAGAACGGGGUGGGGGUAGGGUGAAUCCCACCACUCCUCCUCCUAUUUCGUCCCCUUGAGUCCAAUCCCUGACACACACACAUAUUCACUCAUGGACCCGCAUACCAUCUGCCAUGGCUGGUGCCUUGGGUGGACAGGGCCACCCACACGUUCUCUACCAUGUGUACUUAUUGACACACACCAGUGUGUGACUGCAAAUUUCAUUGUAUGUGAUGAUGAGAUUGCAGUCUGUGUACGUCCCUGAUAAAAGGGGAAUAAAUAUGAGUCAAGAAGGAAUGGACUGAGGGAGAUGUAUCUCUGUGGUACAGCAUCUGUUUUCCAUGCAGGAGGCCCCAGUUUCAAUCUCCAGGUAGAGCUAAAAUUCUAUCUGAAAUCCUGGAGAGCCACUGCCAAUAGGUAUGAAGAAUGCUGAGCUAGAUGGACCAGUGUGGUGUAGUGGUUAGAGUGUUGGACGAGGUCCCCUGGAGACCAGAAUUCCAGGCCCCACCCAGUCAUGAAGCUCACUGGGUGAUCUCAGGGUUGCUGUGUGGAUUAAACAAGGCAUAGAAGAACUGUGCCUUGGAAGAAAGGAGAGAUAUAAAUGUAACAAACAAAAUGGUCUCAUUUCGUAUAAGGCACCUUCCUUUGAGACGGCAGGUUUAUGAGAAGCUCCGCCACAUUUAUUGGGAAAAAGGCAGAUGAGGAGGGCCUGAUUUGGAUCAAGCUACAUGAGGGCACUGAGACAGAUUCAAACCAACAGGAUUCGCAACUCAAGCCAACAUGAUUCACAAAAAGGCUAGAUUUGUGUUUUCACAUCAAAGUAAAGUAGCAGGCUAAUAAAAAAAAAUCCUGUUCUUAAUGUUUACUCUACCUCUUAUUCCCCCAGCUUCCAGGAGAUUUUGGACAAAGCCAAUAGCCACUGAUCUUGUGAAAACCACAGUGAAAUAUUAAAUACAGUUUCAGAAGAGAAGUUCCUUUCACCAGACACUUAUUUAAAAGGAUAUAGGGUUAUGGAUUUUGAACUGCUCUAAAACACUUCCCUGCCUUGCUCUCUCUCACCAUGUAAAAAAACAACAAAAUACUGAGUGAUAUACUCCUAUAUUUCUCUUUGCUAGAAAACUCAUACAUCUUGCUCUGAUUUCAUUCAUAUGCUUGUCUUGUUGCCUUUUCUUCAUUUUCCAGUUUUCUAAGGAUACUAAGAUUGUAUUGUAAAAUCCAGAGGCACUUUAAAUAUAUAUAUUCUGAAUUUUUAUACCAUUUAAUGCUCAAAUGACUUCUGAUGGGCUUACAAAACACAGAAAUCAACUGUACAACUUUGUUAAAAUACAGAAUAAUUAGAAACACAUAAUUAAAAUACAUAAUAAACCAAUCUCAUGAAAAUAAUACAACAAUGGACACAUUGCAGCACAAAACUGAAAAUUUAUUUUGUGACCUACCUAACAAUAAAGGUAAAGGUAAAGGUACCCCUGCCCAUACGGGCCAGUCGUGUCCGACUCUAGGGUUGUGCACCCAUCUCACUUAAGAGGCCAGGGGCCAGCGCUGUCCGGAGACACUUCCGGGUCACGUGGCCAGCGUGACGAAGCUGCUCUGGCGACCCAGCACCAGCGCAGCACACGGAAACGCCGUUUACCUUCCCACUAUAAAGCGGUACCUUUUUAUCUACUUGCCCUUAGGGGUGCUUUCGAACUGCUAGGUGGGCAGGAGCUGGGACCGAAAGAUGGGAGCUCACCCCGCCGCGGGGAUUCGAACCGCCGACCAUAUGAUCGGCAAAUCCUAGGCACUGAGGUUUUACCCACAGCGCCACCCGCGUCCCUAUAACAAUAUAUCCUCUAUAACAAUAUAUCCAAUAUAUACCUAACAAUAUAUCCUCUUAAAAUCUAGAUGUCACUCACCAUUUUCAUUGUAGAAGCUACCUUUAACGAGCAAGGCUUGUUGCCACCUUGCCACAGCCUUUGGCCUUGGGAUCUCAGUGGGAUGGCAAAACCUGCUCCUGUGCUGCUUCAGAUGCUGAAAUGUUUCCCUCCACUAUCCAACCGAUUCUGCACAUAAGAAAAUGAGCACGUCAGGGAGAAGGCUAGGCUAGAACCUUUCUCACGACACCAAGGUUUCUAGGUACAGAAAAUCUUUGUGCAUAUAAUGUGGGCUUCCGUAUGCAGAUCAAAGUAGUACAGCCCAGGUCCAAGGAAGACUUACUAAAGACUUAGUAGUCUAAUAUUAGAUCUUUAUUGACAAUACAUAUAAUAAAUGAAGAGGUGGAAAAACAGUCAGAGGCAGUAAGAAGAUGUUUUCCUUGUUCUAAUUUUGGAACAAUACUGCAGUUUUGCACAUGACUCACUGCAAGGCAGCACCCUGAUUUUUAUAUGCCAAUCUGCAACCUGCAACACAAUGUUUACCAAUAAUAUUAUUUCUUCUUCAUGCGCUGAGAGAAUCAGCUACUCCUCUCCAUUUACAAUGUAUUUCUUUUAGCAUUGUAGUGGUGUAGGUUGUGGCAGCUGUCUUAAAAAUAUGUUGGGGUGUGUGUGAUGCUUGUAAUAGGGACUCAACUUGCAACACAAUACAGUAUGAUUUUACUUUUCUUAUAGUGAUAAUGAGUUUACCCACAGACUUCAGAAUAUGUUGCUAUGCGGAAAAACAACCUCUUCUAUAAUCAUCUCCACAAGCCCAUUAAAAGGAACCUGCAGGAUUGUAUCACCCAGAGCUUUCGAAAGUGUCAUGUUAAAAACAACAAGAACCACCAUAGAAGCUAGCCAAAGUUAACCUCUUUUAUGCAUAUGUUAAAUUGCUUGUUAAGAGCAGUGUGAUUUAGAUAUGCUGAAUGUCGACUGCACCACAGCUGUGCCAUUGUUACGUGCACCAAAUAUUUAACCACUUAGAUAUUCAUAAAUAUAAAAUUUCACUCUCUCUCUCAUCUAAACAUUUGUGCCUAAGAAACUGGGAGAACAUUUGGAACACAUCUCCUCUCCCCAGCAUGGAGGCAAAGUAAUUUGCCGGAGGAUGUCUGUGCCUCGUUGUUGCCACCCCCAGCUAUGGCUGGUUUAAUGUAUGUUGCACUCUUUCCAUUUCUUAAAUCCACGCUCAAUUAACGAUCUGUUACCAAACCGUUCUCCUGGUCUAACAUCAGAGUUACAAGCCAAAUGACGGCAUGGAAAACAGAAAGCAGCCUUUAGCAGCGGAGCAGUCCGUGAAUGCUUAUAGUGUAAACACCUACCGGGGUCGGAACACUGACCGUUUGUACGAGGAUGCGAAGGAUGUUUCAACAGGAGUUGCUGGUCAUCUUGUGCAAUGAAGUACUACAGCUGUGACAAUGUUGUCAUUUGCUGCUUGCAUAAAUAGGUGACGCACUUUGCCUACCUGGCACUUGUACAUUUGCUGACAUCAUGGUACACACAGCUUCUUGAGGUAUGCAGAUGGGCUUGUUACUCUGAUAAUGGAUACCUUUUUAUUUCUUGGACAUGAAGCCUUUAUGAGUUUAAAUGAUAAUUAUAAUAUAUAUCUGUUUUGUAAUCAUUUUGCAUAUUUUAGCUGUUCAUCUACAUUUUUAUAUUAUACACUGCUUAUUGACUGCCAUUGUCUCAGACUUGCAGGGCACUAGUCCUCCACAAGGCCACCCAUAUCUAACUUCUCAAUAUUCAACUAUGUUUUAUAAAAGGAACCCUGUCAGUGGCAGUAGGGGUGGGCAGGGUGCCUGUCCCACGGAGUUUAGCUGCUUCAGCCUGCCUCAUGGGUGGGCUAGCCCUGAAAAUGAGGCAGGAUUAAGGAGAUAUUUAUGACUCAAAAUGCAGGUAAUCAAGCAGGGGCCAAGUCAAUCAAUUGUAGUAAAGGUAUGUGACGUUUCAGAAGAUUAUGGGGAACUCAAAUGGUGCUGCACAUAGAGGCCUCUUUUCCUACUCAAAUGGUGUCAGGUUGAGAAUGAAUCAAAUGACAUGCAUUCCUGAGGAAACUUGAUUAAUAGCAGACAGUCACUGUUGGAAAGUAAUUAAUCUGAGUGCUUAAGCACCAAUCACCAAUAAUCCAACUAUGGAGGCAGAGUUAAUUGAGCUGCUGGCUCUGAUCAGGGCUCAAGCAAGCAGUCCCCAUAAGGAAGAGGAACAGAAGUAGGAGACUCCAAUUCUGUACAUGCCCACAUUGGCAUCACCGAUGUAGAACCAGGGCUGUCUUACCCAUAGGCGAUAGGGGUGCAGGGCACCCAGGUACUGGGUUCUCAGGGGCACCAGGCUGAGAGUCCAGGGCCUGAGAGUUAAGUCCGGGGAAGAGUCCUCUCAUCAGUCGGGCCGCUGCAGCGGGCUCUUCUGCUGCGGGCAGCUCUGCGCCACAAGUUCAGGGGUGACCGAGCCAGUGAGACGCUGAGCUGGCCAGCCAGCUCUGCCCUCCUGUGUGCCUGGGACUGGGCAACCUGGGGGGGGGUGUGGCACCGGGCGGAUCUUUCCACCCCAGUGCCGAAUAUACUUAAGACAGCUCUGUGCAGGACCACCCCCAGCUGGAGGAAAGGCUUUUGCAAAUAUGUUCACACCUUGGAUAAAUUUGAAUGAAGAACAGCUUAAUGACUCCUACUGGAGUGAAAUUGGCCCAAGAAACAACACAUCAAACGAUAUUAGUAUAUAUGUGUAUGGGUGUGCAUGAUACAUAUGCAUUUUAUCAGAAUGCUGAUGACAUUCAGCUCUGUUUGUCUAUUAAAUCUGGGUAACUAGAGGCCUUGUGUAAACUGAAUCAGUGCCUGGACAAGGGUAAACAGACUGAAGUUGAAUCCUGCUAAGACAAAGACACUGAGUAAGUGGUUGCCAGGUCCAAGAAAUUAGGAUGCGUUGUUCUUGAUGGUGUUGCCCUCCCUCUGAAAUAACAAGUACACAGCUUAGGGAUGCUCUUUCAACAAUUUUUGUCCAUGAAGGUUCAAGUGGCUUCUGUGGUGAAGAGCGCCUAUUUCCUGAACAGGAAAAAUUUGGCCACUGUGACACAUGUGUGGGUAGCCUUAGCACUGGACUGUUGGAACGUGCUCUCUGUUGGGCUUCCCUUGCAGCUGAUCUGGAGGCUAAAGCAGGUGCAGAACUCUGAAGCCCAAAUCAUGAGUGGUGCUCCAUUUUGGGCAUAUAUCAUGCCAGUGCUGAGGGAACUGCACUAGCUGUUGUUUCUGCAACUCACAUAAAAAGCCCUGAAUAACUUUGAAAAAAGUUACCAAAAAGCUGUCUUCCCCUCCAAGGGCAUUGCACUCCACUAUUAGCACCUGGUUAGUUUUGCCAUGGCAUGAUCAUUGGCUUGUGGUAACAAAAGGCAGACUAGUGUCAUGGGAUACCUUCUCUGCUGAAACAUGAAAGACCCUCAUCAGUAUUGGCAAUCUGCCAGCUCUUGAAGGCAAGUAUUGCCCUGAACUGACCUUCUGAUCUGAAUGAUUUAGCUGUCUUUUAACUGUUUUAAUUGCCAUGCUUUUUAACUGGCUUCUUUUAUUGUGCAUUUUAAUUAGGGAAGCUUUAAUACUUUGGCAGAAUUGUUAUUGUGCACUUCAAUUAUGUAUGUAUAGUUGUAAACCACUUACAAGCCAUUUCGACAUAUAAGCAGUAUAUUAAUUAAUUAAUCAUUGGACUUUCCUUUGGAGUUAUGGCUGCUUUGGCCACCUUUAGGCUUUUCUUAAUGGUGUGUGUGUGCUUUUAGCUUUACAGACCUCAGUGUCCCUCAAGGAUUCUCAUUUGUCUUUAGUCCCAUUUUGGUUCCAAGCCAGUGAGAUCUUAGUACCAGAGUUCCUGAUUAGAAGGAAUGUUAAAUCCACUCUGAAUGGAAAAAAAGAAUAAGAGCUGGUGCCUCAUGGUCCAGACAAAUCAUAUAUGAAACCACAGCUCCAACAGGGGCCUACAAAGUGAAAAACUUCCAUACAGUGUGAGAAGUCUUUGAUAAUCAAAGGCCAUGCUAGCAAGCUUGUUGGGAACCAGUGGUUAAGGGUCUUAAACUAGAAACUGCAGUAGCUAUGCUUGUUCACAAACUCUAUACUUCUAUAUUCAAGGAUUGAUCCAAAUUUGGCUAUAGUGCAGCUUAUUUUUACUGUAAUUUACAGUCUUUCCAAACACUUACAUUUUUUAGUUCUGCACUGACUACACACACACACACACACACACACACACACUCUUUCAUCCAGGCCUUGGGUGAAAAUGGAUGCACUAAGGUUUGGCACUGUUGAUGAUGAUUCACUCACUGGACUGUAUUUUGUAGGAUAUUUUCAUUAUAAUUUUAAGUAUUCUGUAUUAAUUUUUAUUGUUUUCAUGUAAAGAUUGUGUUUGUAAAGUGCCCUGGAAUAUCAGGUGAAGGGGAGUUUAGAAACUGAAGAAAUAAAAUAGGAGUUGAAGCCUGAUAAUAAGUCAUAAAGCAGUCUUAUUUUCCAACAUAUUUCUUCAAGUUACAGAAAAACAUCACUUCAAUAUCUAUUGCAGAGAGACAAAAUAUUAAUGGUGAAGUAGGGCAUCAUUAAUACUAAUUUAAGAGGGGAGAAAAGGCUCUUUUUAAAAUAUAAAAUGUGUAUGAACUGCAAUCAUUGUCUCUUGGGCAACAAAAUCUAGAUCAAGAGCAACAUUAGAGUUGCUCUCCUCUGUUUGUAGAAGUGCUACAAUCAUCAUUUCUUUUGCUCACUCAGGGUGUAUAAUUCCAAACCCAUGGAAGUAAACAGCAGUCUACCCAAUUACUUGGACCACUUAAUGCCAGCCUUUUCUUUGCUUUUAUAAAAUUCUCAGAAAUCUCUUCAGCUGAUUGCUCAUCAUACUUAGUUCUGUUCUAUGACUUCUAAAAUAAAAAGCAAACAAACAGAAUGCAUUCCUAUCAUAAGCUAAUCCUAACAGUACAGGAAAGGGUGUGUUGCUGAUCCUUGCACAAAAUGUAUUAAGUCUGAGCAGAUUGGCAGGGGGGAAAUGUGCUCCAAAUAUAACCCGUUGAGUAGGCCUGCAUAACUUGUAUGUGACCUGCCAAGCCAAAUGCAGCCCACCUACCUUGUGGUCUGCGAGGAGCUUGACAACCUUCAUUUUUAUGCAAUUCCAGGCAGGCAACAAAAACAGAAGUCCUAAUAGGCCACCCAUCUCAUAGUAGGUGGGAUGUGGUUGUCAAAGCGAGUCACAAGUUGUGCAGUCCUGCUGUGUAAUGGAUGGCGAAUGCCACACUUAACAUAUGCUUGACAUUAUAAAUCCCCAUGUUGGGGAGGGGGAAAUAUACCUCUGCAAAACCAUAAUGUUAGAAAUAAGACUCUAGCCUAGCCUUUUCCUGCCAUGUUAAUUUGGGAAUAUUUUGAUGUCUUCCCCAACACUGGGGGCAGGGGGGAAAGUGCAGCCCACCUCCAAGGUAACCACAGCAUCAUUUUACACAUGAGUAAAACAUUAAUAGCACACCCUCUAACAUUUUUCUGAUGAAAAUAGGGUCAUCCUAUUCUAUCAUCACCAUUUUCUUGUUUAUACCUGUCCAUUUUAAUGGGUUGCCCCAGCAGCCACUCUCGGUGGCUUCCAUGAUAUAAAGAAACAUAACAUAAAAAAACAUAAAACUUGUACACACACACAACUUCCCUAUACAGGGCCACCUUCAGAUGUCUUCUAAAGGCUGUAUAAUUGCUUAUCUUCUUGGCUCAGGGGGUCACAUAAUUCAGAUUUACUCCCACCCAUAUUCACUCUGGCAGCUGCUACAAAAAAACAAAUAAAACAUACUUUUGGGAGAUCCUGACUAAGGAUCCUUCCUGACCAUUUGAUUCGGAGUCCUGUAAAUGAAAAUUGAUUCUUAUAUUUGAAAUGAAUGAUUAAAUGUUAGUUCUGGUACUAUGCUUUUGUAAUUGAAUAUGAAUCACUCCCAUCAUGCUCACUGUGCCCCUUAGUGCCUAUGAGAGAUGAUGAGUCAUAACAGAGAAGUGUGUGCACAAGCUGUACAACAGGAAGAGCCUGGGUCAAACUUCACAAAAGGGAGAAUGUGAAAAAGAUUCAAUUCCUGUAUUUAGAUUUUUAUGCUGGGCACAGUCAUGCAUUUAUAUUGUGAUACUGACACUGAUAAACACAAAAAAUAAUAAACUGGAUUGAAAAAAUGUUGGGGACGGCAUUACAAAUUUGUAAGAUAUUGUAUGUUAUGUUUUCUGUUAAUUUGAUAUUCGAUAACUCUGAAAAGAGAAUACGUAAGUGAAAAUUGGUUUUCAUAUUUGAAACGACUGGUUCAUGAAAUGUUGUUUAAUGAAAUGUUGGUCACCCUAUUACUUUCUUGUAAUUGAAAAAUCUCCAAAUAAAGUCUCACCUCAGCUAUGAGCUCACUGGAUGGCCAUAGGCAAACCUCAGAUCCCUGCCUGUAAUACAGUGUUAAUAAAUCGGUCAGAUCUAACAAGGGCUAUUGUAAGAGUGAAACUGCAGGUUUCAUGGGAAUUCUAUGGUUGGAGAGUUUGGAUUGGUGCCAUUGUGCAAAGAGAGGGCAGGUUUAAAAGUGUAUAAAAUUUAGGGAAUCAGCCGUUGUAAACAGGGUCCGGGCACAACCCUUUAUUAGAUGAGCUCCUGAAGAAAGAGUGUUGCUACUAUUUAUGAGGCACCCUAAACACCAGUUGGUGGGGAGCAGCAACAGGAGAGGGCUAUUGCCUUCAAGACCUGUUUGUGGGCUUCCAGAGGUAUAAGAACAAUGGCUCAUCUAGACGAGCUUCCUGUUCUCACAGUGGCCAACCAGAUAACUAAAGGAAGCUCCAAAGCAAGACCUGAGCUCAAAAGCACUCUCCUCGGUUGUGAAUCCCAGUAACUAGAAUGCAGAGGCUUACUGCUUCUAACAGUGGUUCUAGAACAUAGCCACCAACUUUAUCCAUGCAUUUUACAGCCAUUUGAGUCAAUGGCUGUCACUGCUUCUUGAGGGAGUAAAUCCCAUAGUUCAGUUAUGCACCAUGUAAAUAACUAUUUUCUUUUGUCCUGAAUCUUUCAGUGGCAUCCAUAUGGCCAAUGUGGGAAACCGGAUGGGGGACAAGAUGAACCAGUAGUCUGAUCCAGCAGUGCUCACCUUCUUAUGCUCUUACCUUUACUUGACUAUCUCUAUAACAACUCUGCAAGGAAUUUGCAGAGACCAAAAAAUCACAGUUAUAUUACCCCUUCCUUGCAUAAUAGAAGGAAGGAGAGAGAAAGAGAGAGAGAGAGAGAGAGAGAGAGAGAGAGAGGGAGAGAGCGAGAGAGAGAAUGAGAAUUUACAUUGGGAAAAUGGAUUGGAGGAAGCCCGCUUGCACUACAGUCUCAAUCUCCAAACAGGGUUUGUGAGGUGGCAUUUAGGAGAAGAAAGAUAUAGCUAAUCAUGGUGCUUGUGGAACCCCGAGUGCUUCAAAAAAGCAAAAAGCAGCAGCAGCAGCAACAUAAUAUAAUGUUUUAUUGUAGAAAGUGAGCGGAAGUGAGCAAGGGGUAAGAUAUGUAGUAAAAGGAAAUCAAGGUAGCCAAAGUUAGUGUUUUACCUAUGAAGAGACAUCAGGAAAAUACUGCACGUGAACUUGGGGACUUCUUUCUCAGCCUCAAAUAUGGAACUCUGCCUUUCAAAAUUGUUUUUAGCCUUUUAGCACAAGUUCUGCCUUCCCAGAACCUAUUGUUCUUGUGAUGCAAUUGCCUAGGCUUUGGUAGAGCACUGGCCUUUGAGGAAUAUUCUUAUAAAGUAUGGGUAGAUUUUUCUUUUUUAAAAAAAUCCACCCUACUGUACUCUCAAAGUGCAAGAGGCAUUGUCUUGGAUGGCCAUUGUUUUGUUUCUUCUAAGGAGGCCGAGAGGAACGACUGUUGGAACGUUACUUUUUCUCACAAUGACAAGUUGGGAUCAUUUUACUGUUUCCACAGCUGCAGGGUGUUAAAUGCUGACUGCACCCAAUUCUGUGAUCAUUGUACUGUAUCUAACACACCCAGUCAAGUGUUAGAUCUAUUGCUGGCACGGACCCUUGCCUUCCUCUGGCUGUUGGGCUCUGAUAAGUUAAAGUCCUCAUGUGCUCCAAUUAUCUGCCUAUCAGCUAUGAGAGCUUCUCAUUGACCAUCACUAACCUUCAUUUGACUUUCUGCUUCCUUUUGCAGCAACCCCCAUCUCAAGCCUUUCUCCCACGCACAGCCAAACCAAGCAUUUUGUGUGUGUGUGGGGGGGGGGGUUAGCCCCUCUCAGCUUUGAGGUUUUUAAAUCUGACAUAAUUUGCAUCAUUACUCUGAGGAAAAUAUUCUGCCACCUUUGGGGCAUGAGGAGAGAGCUUCAAAUAGGCUUCAGGCAAUCACGGAGCUAGGGGGAAAAGCAGGGGAGGGAGGAGGUAAUGGUUUCACAUGUAUGCACCUGUCAAAAUCUCAGAAGACAUUUGGAGAUAUGCUGAGAUGAUGUACCUAUAUAUUUUUUGCUUUGUUUGAACUCCCCAGAGGGUCUGGAAGCCUUCCCGUUAAUUAAAGAGAAAGAUUGGGUCAUUAAUUUGAUUCUCAAUUAAUUUGUCAUUCAGCAAAGCCUAUUUAUUUCACCAUGAAAUGCUGACAAAGGAACGCAAGAAACUCAGGUUGCAACCAACUUUUCCAUCUAGCUCUUCUCAAGCUGUGUGCAGUGACUAAUAGCCAUAAGAGACAUCUCAGCCACUCUCUAUUGAUCAUGUGGAAACAUAAGUGUGAACUGGAUUGUAUACAGAUACAGCUGGCAGACAUUUCAGUGAUUUCAACAGCAGCAACUUUUCCAGCCAUCGCAAUUAUAGAAAUUGCUGGGUGGAUUCAGACAACCAUUUACCAGAUUCCAAGUCAACAUGCAAUGGAUGCAGCCACUUGGUAACUUAGCUGUCUGUAUUGCCUUGCCAAGUACUAAGAAUUCUUACACACAUCAGGACUAACUGUAGGUAAAAUGUGUGGUAAAAACAGCCUUCUGUAUCCAGCUGUGGCUGUAUCUGUGUGUAGUUUUGUCCACACUUCUGCUUAUUUGACAUGUAGCAUAUGGUUACAUGCCAUCCCAAUCUGAGUGGUGUGAGAUUCCAGGGGUACCAGGCAUGCUUGCCAGGGUCUGUGUUCCUUUUAGGACAACGAGGCACAGUGGAGUCUGUGGUGUCUUUGCAAAGUAUGGCAUACUGACACAUAUAUACAAGCUGUGCCUAAUUUGGAGGGGGUUCUGAGCAUCACACUGCAAGUGGCACCACCUUCCAAAAGCAGCAGCAUUCCUGCUCCGCCUAAGCUUUAGACAUUUGUAACACAGGGAGUGGCCUCCACUCCCAUGAUGUGUUGAUUUGUUAAUCUUCUGUUGCCUUAAUGCAGGCUUCCUCAAACUCGGCCCUCCGGAUGUUUUUGGCCUACAACUCCCAUGAUCCCUAGCUAGCAGGAUCAGUGGUCAGGGAUGAUGGGAAUUGUAGUCUCAAAACAUCUGGAGGGCUGAGGUUGAGGAAGCCUGGCUUAAUGGCUCACUUCCCACUUAAACCAUGUGGAUAUAGAGUUGCAUCUACAGCAGCACAAGCAGAUGCCUUCAUCUGUGCCAGCUCUCCCAUUUCCCAUUACAUCCACAGCAGGCGCUGCAAACUUCACAUUCAAAGGCACACUCUUCCAUUGUCUCCCAAGACUAAUGGAUGGUAACAAUAUAGAUGGGGUCUAAUACACAACUUAGGUCAUCUGCCUGACUUCAUUAACUUUCGCACAUGCUCAUUCCAGGGGUUUUUGAAGUGGGUGUCACACACAACCUAAUACACACUCAGAUCUAUCUUAAGACACAAUGGUCUGACAUCCCUUUUUAAAAUACCAUUUCUAAUUAAAGUCUAACAUACAUUAUAUCCAGGCAUUUAGAACCCACAGACCUAUAACAAUAUAUUCCUAAUAAAAACUGUUUGAAAAUAUCAGACACAUUGUAUAUCAGUGGAUGACUAUGUAUGUUGGAGUGUGGGCAUGGAAUCAGACUGUGUGUUUGCAAGACAGAGAGAGGCUUUCUUAUAGCUUGGCCCAGGCCAAACAAACAUUUUCCUACCUAGUAUGAGAGAUAAGUGAAGGCAUGAAUAACAGAUUCAGGGAAAUCAUGGGUACAGAUAAACUUAGUAUUGCUUUGGUCCUGCCUCACUUUAUGCCUGGGAAUAUGGCGUGGGGCGUGGGAGAAAGGAAGAUAAACCUCAGGCUCACUUCAUACAAGAUAGAAAACAGAAACCUUACUUUGACCAGGAUUCUUCUCUGACUUUAGAAAUGGAACAAAGAGCUACCAAGACAUUAAAAAAAGAGAGAAGAAACUGAAUCUACCAUUUGCUCAGCGAUGUCACCUUUUAAUCUUUAUGUAGGAAUUUCUUGUGGAAGGCAGGAAUGAAUAGAGUAUCUUUUGCGAAAAGGAGGGGAGACAUGCAUGCAAGUGGGAGAAGGAGACAGAUGGAGCUUUGUGGCUGGCAUUUUUUUGAUAGAUUGCAUGGAGGUGAUGUGUUAAGAUAAAAUGCCAAAGAUGUAGAGUUACAAGACAGCAUUAAAAGGCAACAGCAGAAGGUGGAAGGAAGUUAACCACCUCUCAUCUUUCAGGUGAACAGAAUAAUCAGAUUGCAAGGUAGAAAGGUGUUUCUUAACUUUAGGACCAUGCGACUGCCAGGUGCUUGACAGCACUGUUGUACCUGCAGUGUCAGGCAGUGGAAAAGGUGAUACAGCAAGGUCGGGGGGGGGAGAUACAUGAUUAAUGGUCUGUGUUCAGCUUGGUGAGUCAUCAGUUGUGCAGAACUACUUAACCCUCAUCAGACUACUGCCUUUUCUUCUGAAUGACACAUAUCUCCCAAUACCACAGUUGCUCAGGACAAGUGCGUUUAAACAUAUAUGUACACUGCUUUUCCAUGUUCAGAGAAUAAGCCCUUCCAGAACACAAAUGCUUGGGGAAAUUUAGGUCAAGUGGUGUGGUGUUCUAGGGGGAAAUUAUUUCCAAGGCAACCUUGACCUUAUUCCUCUUUGCUGCAGGUUUCUAAACUAAUGUAUUCAUGAUAGUGUUCUAGUAGUGGGUUUUCCCAGGGCCUUCUGCAUGAUAUCUUGCCUUCUAUGAGUCUGAGAACUCUCUUUGCCAAUAUCACAGAGGAGCAAUGGGAUUUCAUUAUAUUGGAACUCAGGAAAGAGUAGGGUUUCAGAGGCUCUAUACCUGCUAAAUAGAGGAUGGGGAAAGCUCAUUCAGUAGAGAACAGUUAGUGGUACGCAUGGAACCCUUUUCCUCUUUGUGACCAAUCCAAUGCUGGCUCUUAUUCUUCCAGCCAAAAUGGAGACUUUUGAGUAAAGUUGCUGGGGGAACCAUGUUUCCUGGCUAACAACCUACUAUUAUUUGAUAAAGAGUUACUUUCCCCAGUUGUAUUUGUUGCACACUCUCUCAGUGGAAUUGGUAUUUAUAUAUUUAUUUUUUAAAAAAUCAUAAAAUUUAUACACCAAUUGAUUGUUAAAAAAUGUAUUAUUUCUGGAGUGCUGCCUCCAACACAAGGCAUCCAAUUUGCUAUUUUUAUAUUUAUUGUAGAGCUUACCACAGCUUGAUUCCAAAACAAAAAAUAAGAAAAAAAGAGAAAGAACAGCAUCUGUAGCCUAGUUCUGAGCAAGUUAGUGUCUGUGUAGUGCCACUUCAUAAAGCUCUUUCAAACAAAACACCCCCUGCAAAUAGAAAUGUAGUGCAUUAGGGGAAGAUUUGGCAAAACGAGGCUUUAUUUCACCCUGGGUCAAAGACCCAGUUUAGCACACACACCCCUCAGGCAUUUGCGCGCGCGCACACACACACACACACACACACACACACAGGCUGGGAGUCUCUGGAGGCUUCACACAGGGCAAAAAACUGCAGCUAGCCAUCCUGUAGCUACGGCACUGUGGCUAGUUGUCCAUGUGCUGCUGUACACAUCUUACAUGGAAAAUCCAUUGCCUCAGAUAAUGACCAUCUGCUGCCCUUCAGAGAGAAUAGGCCUUAUAAGAAUAAAGUAAGAAUAAUGUAACUUAGCAGAAGAAAGCUUUGCAUAGUCUAUUUCAAGGAUGUGAUAACUUUACCUGUUGCUUGGAAACACUAAUAGUUCCUUAAAAAUGGGAAAUUAAACCUUUCAAUUCCUUUGAAUAUUAACAUGUAAUCCACCCUUCACUGUGGCAGAAGCAGCCCCUGGGUAUUCUUAAAAUUAACAGAAUUUAGUUUUCCACUGACAAGCUAUGCAUUAUAAAGUUUAUACUAUCAAUCCGUAAGACUGCAACUUCAUAUACACCAGAAUCAGGCAAAAGGGAUCGAAAAGGAUACUAUAUCCAGUUCAGGUUGUUGGCAACAAAGAUACCCAAGAAUCUAGAAAAUCAGUCCUGUGAAGAAAGAACUAUGAUGUUUAGGUGAGAGAAAAAUCACAUCAAAGGGAACAUCUUCUGAUUCUACUUCAAGAGACAUAAAUGGAUGUCAGAAAGCCUUGUUCAUUCUAUCCCCCUCACAAGAAAAUAGUGCAUGGGCUUCUCAAAUUUUAUGACCAUUUUAAUGGAUUUGAUUUUUCAGUGAUUAUGAACAGAUCUGGGAACAAACACCAGGGAAUGGCAAUCACCUUCAGGCCUGGUCUUCUAUUUGAGAGACUUCUGGCUGCUAACUCUUGUUGGAAACAGAAAGCUAGUCUAAGUGAACUUUUGACUGGUUGAGGAAAGCUAUUUUCCUAAGAUUAUAUUUUUGUACUCAGAUUAUGAAAGGAAGCAAAGGUUGUAAAUGAGAGAGGAUUAGAGUUAAUACACAUAUGAGCCUGUGAAAUAGAUAUUUCCUAACUCUGUGUUUCUAUGAAACCUUAUAGAUAUUGUCCAUUUCCUCUGUUCUGAUUAUACCAGUGAGUAUAACUUAACACCUGACUGGGCUGGGCCUGCACUGAAAUUUGGAUCAUGGCAGAGAGCCCCAAUUCAUAGAGGCUCUUCCACUUCUAGGUCCACAGCUGAACCCUGAUUCAGGAAUGCAUAGGUAUGGGCUUCUUCCCUCUUCCCAUGUACUAUCACAUGAAGAUGUAGUUUCAUGCCAGUAGCUGGGCACUUCACUAGCAGCCCUUAAGCACCCAACUCACUGUCCCCUGUGCCCCUGUAGGUUGGAAGGGUGGGGUGGGGGAUGGAAUCUGGACAGCUAAUUUGGAGACAUAUAAUCCUAUAACUGAAAUGGUGAAGUCUAAAGUGCUGUUUGCUGUGGAGACUCUAGGUCUGGGCAGAACUAAACCAUGAUAGCUGUAAACCUGCCUCAACUAGAAUACCGCUACAAAUACUGCAUUUGCAUUUCAUGGGGAAACAAAAAACGAUCUUCUGUACAGUGGUAGAUGCACAUAACUGCCUGGCCAUGAGCUGACACAUUUUCCCCAUUGUAAUCAAGAAGCAAAUAGCUGCAUGAAAAAGUGUGAUACAUAAAUAGGUUAGACCCAUGGCUUUUGUUAAAUAAAGGCCACUAAUAAAGUUUAUGUAGAAGUACUUAGUCUGAUUUUCUAGCUAAGUACAAAGCAUAAUCCAUUAAUAUCUGUAAAUUGGCAAAGCCAUGACAUUAUUUCCAUGCAAAACAUUUGCUUAAUGUACUUUUCUAGUCACAUAAUCAUUAGCACAGAUUAGGUAUUAUCCCAUGCCCUCUGCAGCAACAUUUGCAUACCAUAUUGCACAUAAUCUUAACCCUAUUACAAAGCCUGCUCCGAGUUCUUGUAUCUGGAGAUUAGACUAAAACAAAAAGAAACCGAUUGAACCUGUUGUGGGAUUUCUCAAAUUAGAAUUCUUUGGCAACUUUUUGUUUCAAACGUCUCUUCACAGCUCUCCGCCAAGGGAGAGAAAAUGAGUCUGGCCUUUGCCAUGCCUGUGAAGUCAUUAUCCUGUCAGGAAUGACACACAGAAUUGAACCAACAGAAACAAACUUCCGGCUUCACUCAGAGCCUCUCACAAUGAAAUCUGGCUGGACAUGGACUUUGAACGUUACACUCAUUGUUUAUUUCUUUGAGAUAUAACCUAAUAUAAUUAUUUUAUUCUCCAUGAAAGGAAGCAUAUAGUAGUUCUUUGCAAAGCAGCUCUCUCGCUACAGUUUUUCAUGUGCUCCCUUGAAUUAUUCCAAUACUUAAAAAUUGGAAGAAAAAGCCACUAUAUAUGGGUGGCCAGUAGGUCUGAGAAUAGCUGUCAACUUUUUCCUUUUUUUAAGGGAAAUUCCCUUAUUCCAAAUAGGAUUCCUCACAAGAAAAGGGAAAAGUUGACAGCUAUGGGUCUGAGUGAAGCCUAGUACACCCAGGUCUGUCAGCCAGGCUUCAUCCCCCAGCCUGCUUGCUAUUGGCCAAUUCAAAUGUGCAUUCUCCUGGGGGCCCACACAGCUCCUGGAGGAGGAUGACGUUCUCCAAUGGCCUCAUUGAAUGAGGGUUCAAACAGCUGCAGCUGUGCCUGUCCGCAGCCAGCAACCUCCCAGGAUUAUCGGUGAGUAUUCUUUGUCACACACACAAAACUUCAUUAGAUGGUGCUGGAUCCAGGAAAAUGCAGGUGUAAAGCAGCUAAUGGAUUGGGGGACUUGAGUGAAGUGUGGUGCAAAGGCUGUGAGAGAAGGAGGGAUCCCUGAAAGUUGGGUGGAGGGAAGCAACCUCUUCAAGUGAGCUCUCCCUUUUUCUCUCAGACCCAAUUACCACAGCCUGUUCCAUUCAGCAGAGACCCCAACCGUCAAGAGAGAUGGUGGGCAGUGGUGGUCCAUGGUGACAGGGAAGUCAGCUUCUGCCAGCUUUGUUCUGUGUACAUCUUUUCCGGAUCCAGCCCAUUCUCUCUGCUAUUUUGCAGUUAAAUGGUCAAGUUCUCAUCUUGCUCUUUGAUAGAGGGACUGGUAAAACUUUCAAACAAUCAGAAAAUGGAUGCGGUAUAAUUGAGGGAAGAAGUGAAAAGAACUGGUAAACAAGACAUAAAAGAAAGCUGAAACAUUUAGGGCAGCUACCAAUCAAGAAACACAUCUGAAGAAAUUAUAUUAUCCAGGCCCUCUCAUAUUUUGUUAUUUUGUUCUGCAGCUGCUGUUCAUGGGUUUCUCGCCCAUACGCCCCUUCCUUUCAGAAUUGUGGACGGAUGAUUAUUAUUUUUUUAUGCGUGUUCCAUUGAAGAAAAAAAACAGGAUCACUUUGUGUCAGCUACUUGAGUGUGUAAAAGGAGGAGGGAGACAGCUGGGGAAUUCCAAGAUCAAAUACAUAGCAUGAGUCACAACCCAGGGGGGAAACCAGUCCUAAACGUUUUGCUACUGAGUAUGCUGUACUUGACACAAUGGGACUUACAGUACAAUCCUACUGAGGUUUCCUUGGGAGUAAGUAAUGUUUCUACUGCUGGAAAUUGCUGAACCGCUUCUAGGGAAGUAGACAAUAAGAUGAAGCAAGCAAAAUGCAUUCUAAAAGUGAAGAGGAGCUUGAAGUUAUGACCACGUUGGCAGACUGAUGGGAUAUCAACAAAAACUUUAGCAAUGAAGUAGCAACUUUCACCCAAGCUACCACCUCCACCAAGCAUUUGAAUGACUGUCUCACACAUACAGUGAACACACGUUAGGGUGGGAGAUUGGCAGAUUCCAUUCCACCAGGCACAAGUGUUGAUUGGCAUAUAUGUAGCAUAUUUAACAUAUGCAUGUGAUCAGGAUCCCUAAAAAAUCAGGGCUCCCAAUUGUAUGAAUUAGUACUAUGUAAUAUAAGUGUAUGCAUGUGGAUACAUUGCAGACAUGCAAAUGAACAUGUGCACAAUGAAGUUGAAGCAUGCUGAUGUGAUGCCACCACUGCCCAGAUGUGCAUGUACUGAAUGUAUGGAAAAUACAAUUGUGUGGCGCUGAAGAAAUCCAGAUGUCUACAUGUCAUAGUCUCAUUGCUGAGCAACCACAUUCGGAGCUCAGUGCACUGAGAGGCCAGCCAGCCAGAAGAGUCCCUGAGGUGUACUUGCCUGGAGGCAGAAUCAGCAUCCAAAAUCAGGUCCUAGGGUCAGAUGAACAGCAAUCCACAUGGUCAGAUGGUCCAGGGGCCAGGGAAUCCAAAGAUCUCGGGGUCAAGAUGAGCAGGAAGCAGCAGAGUCAUAUCAGGAACUAUAAGCAUUGUUACCAGCACCUGACUGCUGCUGGAAGCUCUGCUGAAGAAGGCUGAAGCCAGCUGGUUCGCAUCAGUGCCUUCCCCUCUGUAACCUUGUAGGUUGCAGGUUGAGUCGCUCCACCUUCUCCCACUUCAGGCUGUUGUUCAGCAGGCAAAGCUGACUCCUGUCCCAUGACAGUACUUACUAAAAGGAGGAGUCAGGCCUAGAUUACAAUUAUUAGUGUUAUGGAUCACAGUAUAUCCUCAUAUAGAUUGUACCUGAAAAAAGCAAGCCAAACAUCUUUGCUCCAGAAAAUGAAAAAUAUAGCCCCCAACACUUUUAUAUAGCAUAUCUGCCAUAAUGCAUUUUUGGUGUUUUAGUAUCUCACAACAAUGUGUGUGUGUGUUCUGUGAGUUCAGCAUUUUCUCUGUCCUAGCUUAGUAGUUUUAGGGUUAACCCCCCCUCUCUUUUCUUGCUUUAAGGCAAGAUAGGUUGCAGAGAUAUUUCUUAGUCACACUCCAAUUGCCUUAUUUAUUAACCAAUUUGUUGAAAACAUAUUCAAAUAGAACACAAUGCUGAUGGUAAUUGAGAUAUAUGCAAGAUUUUUAGGGAGCUAUUUUGUUUUCUCCUUUUAAACUGCACCAUGCAUCAAAAAGAAUUCCCUAUGGAUUUCAUUGAAUUAAGAAGCAUAUCUGUGAUUUUAUUGAUUGCACCUCCAGCAGCGCCGCAAAAUUUUUAUUUGCCUUCCUGGCACACACACACAUAUAUAAUCUGCAGGCAUAUACAUAAACACAACUUUGCUGUCAGGUUGCCUAACCUAGGAUGCAAAAACCUGUCACUUCAGUUCAUUAAGUUUACAUCUCUCUGGCAGAGCUGAGAAAGGAAUUUGCAAUCAGCGAAUACAAGAAUAGGAAUGCAACCUAAGAGCAUGGUAAAUCAAUGUAUCUUUUCUCCACCAAUUGACUAAUUUGCUUCCAUAAAAAUUAUAGCAUGCCAGGGCUCAAAUCCUUAACCUCCUAUUGUCUCUGUGAUUAAAUGUUUGCCCAUUUUUUUGGUCAGGGUCAAAGUGAUGGUAGUUCAUUAAUACAUUCAAUUCCAUUCCAUAGCAGAUGCUAUGGUGAGCUGCAACUGCUCACCUCAUCUCUGGCUGGUUGCAUUGUUGCUGUUUACUGAGAGGUCACCAGUAAUGAGUUUGGUGUGGUGUAAAUGCACCAGUGGAGCCAACCUGAUACUCCAGCCAGUGCAUUUGCAAACAUCCUUGCAACCUUUACACCACCUUGUCCACCCCUCUCUAGCUCUUGGUAAGCAGCAGCAACACAGCUGACUGGAGGUCAAGUAAGUAGAGGCACCUCAUCACGCCGUCUGCAACUGAUUACAUUGAUUUUGGUAAUAUUAUUCAUGACUAGGGGUAUCCCAGUCUCAGAUUGCAAUCUUGCUAAGGUGUACGCACAACAGAACACAACGGCUCUUACUGCUGUCAUCCAGGGCCCUGCUCCAAGUCCAUUAAACUGGGGAGGAAAACCUGGUGUCAACCAGGAGAGAGGUCUUUUCUGUUGUGACAUCUACUUUGUGGAAUAUCUUACUGAGCAAGGUCUGUCAAGCUCCAUCACUGUUUUGCUUCAGGCAGCUGGUAAAGAUGAAGCCUUAUUUUUUAAAAAAUAAAGGCUUUUGGUUAAUUGUGAAAUUGCCUGCCGGCUCAGUUCUGGGCUACUUUUGUGCUGCUUGAAUUUGCUACACAGGAGGUCAAUUUAUCUGUUGGAAUGCAUACUGGAGUUUUUCAGGGAUUAUUUUGUUUUAUUCCAUUUCUAUUACUGUUUGUUUGCCAUCUUCAGUCUCUUUGGAGAAAUAUGAAGGAAUCAGGAUAAACAUUUUUUAAUAAAAUAAACAAUAAACAUUAACAGGAUUCUUCUGUCAAACAUAUACCCAGGAACUAGCAUUAAAUUUCAACAAUGUUUACUUCCAAGUAGUUUGCAUGAUCUAUUUUAAAGUACAACCUGGUGUUAGUUUGAUUAGAUCAUAGUAUUUGUUUGAUUGCUUAUUUCUAUCUCAUUUCUUAGUCAAGAACUCCUGUAGUAGCUAAGAGCAUUUUAAAACAGCAAGCAUGUUAAAUUCACACACACACACACACACACACACACAAGUUAAAACAAACAAAGCAACAAAUGGUCUUCUUAAUUCCACUGGGUUUAGGAUGAAAGUUGGUUGACUAGUCUUCCUAACGAGUGACUAUGAAAUUAGAAGGGUUAUAAAUAAGUCCUUUGUGAAUAAGUAAUAAAUUCUGCAAAGCUGACAGCUACUAUUUAUUAUACGCAUGAAAUGGUAAAGGAAAUCCCAGGUGGAACUCAAAAUAAAUGAAAAGCAUAUUUUCUUGCCCAACCAGACCCUCACUAUUUCUGUCACAUCUUUUAGUUCAGUCCCUUAUUUACACCAACAUAGGAACUGGUGGGUGGGAUUGCAAGCCCUACGUGGUGGGCUACACAAACUGUUGUCUUUACUUCAAUGCUAAAUUACAAUAGCACUUGUAGAAAUUCUAGCUAAGUGAUUUACGCCCUUGAACUAUGAGUGCAAGGCAUCCCAGCUUUCAAAAAGAAGAUAUUUCCAGAACUUAAUGGGAUUAUGAAGGCCAGACCAAGAAGUCUGGCAUUAGCUAACUAACCAAUCUACAAUAGCUGCUGAAGCUGGAAUGCAGAUGUUUGACAACACAGAAUAUACAGAGGAAGGGGACACGGGGUGGGGAGUGGGGAGAGAUUAUCAAAUUACAGGAACAUGCAGGAAAUUUCAUAGAUACAUAUGUGCAAGAUCCUGCCUCACAAAAAGAGACUGGAAAAGAUGCCUGUUAGAUUCAUUUUACUACUAUGAAUACUGUAUGUGAUGAUUUUAGGGAGAAAGGUAUUGAGCCGCAACUGACAAAUUGGAUUUGCACCCGAGAGCAAAUUAAAGGCUGCAGGCAUUCAGCAACUCUUUACGGUGUUCUUUGGACUGGGUUAAAAUGGCUCUGGAUAAAGAUUCUUUCUUUCUUUCUUUCUUUCUUUCUUUCUUUCUUUCUUUCUUUCUCAUUCAGUGGGGAACAAAAGGAUUAUAAGGGCUUUGGACAGGAUCACACAGAAACACAACAGAUCUAAUGUGCUUUCAUCUUCAUCGUUGCAAAUCCUCAGCUUUGGUAGGACUCAAGAGAAGCGUUAAAGUUCUUCCUGUUUAUUAAAGCAACGUUGAUGCCUUAGCCUGCCAGACACCCCAUGGAAAGCCAAGAGUCAGUGUCCAUUUCUCACUUUAAUUCUAGCAGUG
This 69852-nucleotide long non-coding RNA is filed under the name Podarcis lilfordi (Lilford's wall lizard). Lineage: Eukaryota; Metazoa; Chordata; Lepidosauria; Squamata; Lacertidae. The record is from RNAcentral.